CCUCCACCGGUGCUUAUGUCGAUGUUGUAUGGCAAGGAUGAGACAAGCAAAAAUUUCCGUGCUUUAAUUAGAGCAUACAAUAUGAUGUUCUCAUUCACGUCGCUUGGUGGUCAAAUUGAUAAUUCCGUGAACCAUGGGAAUGCACCGUAUGUGUUUCGCAUGCAGGGUCAAAAUUAUCAUCGCAUCGGUGAACUUUUGCCUGGCCCUUCCAAAAGUCCUGCUUUCUCGCAGCUCUAUAUUCAUGAUACCGUAAACGAAGUCUCGAAUAGGAUGGGUGUUAUGGGGUGAGUUGUUUAUUGUAAUAUAUUUUUUAUAUUAUGUCCACGAAUUAAUUUCCGUUUUUUGUUGUUUUUAAUUGUUUUAGCGAGAAAGGACCGGGUAAGCAAAUAAAGAAGAGUAUCGUUAAGACUUUGAAGGAUAUGUUAGAUGCUAACAACCCACACGUCAUCGCGUUUAGAUCAGCUAGAGAUAGAUUAGCACAAUGUGAAGAUACCAGCGGCUUUAAGUUGAUUUUGAAAAAUCAUCGAGAUAGUGACGGUAGAGUCCAAAAUAUACCUACGACUGACGAGGUUGCUGGGCUUAUCGUGGGAGAUAUAAACCCUAAACCGCGUGAUGUAGUGCUUCAGGCUAAUUCUGGAGGGUUUCAGCGUAUAAGUGAGCUGCACCCAUCCUACCUCCCUCUACAGUAUCCUUUGCUUUUUCCUUACGGCGAGGAUGGAUUUAGGUUAGGUAUCGACAUUGGAUUCAUCGAUAAAGGCGGUCUAAAAAGAACAAAAGUGACGAUGAGAGAAUUCUUUGCGUAUCGCAUUCAAUCGAGACGAGGUGAAUCUCCUACUAUUGUUAUGUCCAGGAGAUUAUAUCAGCAGUUCCUGGUUGAUGCGUAUACGAUGAUCGAAAGCAACAGGCUUCGUUAUUUGUUUUUUAACCAGAAAAAUCUCCGCUGUGAAAGCUAUUCGCAGAUUCUUAAAGUUUCUAAGAAAGGAAAUAAAAAUCUUUCCAGAGAAGGUAAUAAAGUUAUGAUACCAUCUUCUUUCACCGGAGGGCCUAGGUACAAGACGCAGCAUUAUCUUGAUGCGAUGGCUACUUGCAAGUAUUAUGGCUUUCCUGAUCUAUUUAUCACUAUAACUUGUAAUCCUGCGUGGCCCGAGAUUACUAGGUAUCUGGAAAAAUACAACUUAAAACCCAAGGAUAGGCCCGACAUCUGUUGUAGGCUUUUUAAGCUGAAACUCGAUAAUCUCAUUCAUGAUCUUACCCAUAAUAAGAAGCUGGGAACUGUCUCUUCUGGUAAGAUUGACCAAACUUUUAUAGCGAUAUUUGUGUCUCGCAUAAAUUAUGUGUUAUUAUUAUAUAUAUAGAAUUUUAGAAUCUUAAAUUUUUAACCUCUUAUUCUGUAAUUUCUUGUAUAUUUUACAGUUUUAUACACGAUUGAGUUCCAGAAAAGGGGUCUACCACACGCACAUAUGGUCCUGUUCCUAGCUCCAGGAUCAAAACUUCCAACUACUGAUGAUAUUGAUAAACAUAUUAGUGCAGAAAUUCCUGAUCCAGAGUUAGAGCCGUUUUUGUAUGAAGUUGUAGCAGAUAUGAUGGUGCAUGGUCCGUGCGGAGUUGUUAAUCCCGGCUGUCCGUGUAUGCAAAAAGGCAGAUGCACCAAAUACUACCCUAGGCCUUACAGUGAUCAGACUAAGGUUGAUGACGAGGGGUAUCCUAUUUAUAGACGGCGAGCGGAUGGCAAAUUCAUCGUGAAGCAAAAAUUUAAUGUCGAUAAUAGGUACAUCGUUCCAUAUAACGCUUAUUUAUCGAAAAGGUAUCGUGCUCAUAUUAAUGUCGAGUGGUGCAAUCAUUACGAUCUAUCAAAUAUCUCUUCAAGUAUAUCCACAAAGGACCCGAUUAUAUCAGAGCAAAAAUACAAAAGGACGGUCAAGAAGAGGAAGUCCAUGACGAAAUAAAACAGUAUUAUACAUGCAGGUGCCAAAUGAGACUAAUUGUUUAUAAAAUGUUAUGUUAUCGUCUUAGACUAAAUACUGUUGUUGGGAGUUUUGAAAUUAUUGCCUCAUUCUCAUUAUUUUUUAUGUCGUUUCGUUUAUAGGUAUAUAUCUGCAUGCGAGGCCACUUGGAGAAUAUUAGCUUUUGCUACACAUUACCGGUCUACACCAGUAGAAAAACUUACAUUUCAUCUUCCUGGUGAAGAGGUCAUUGUUUUCGAUCCGAAUGAUCCUGUUGAUGAGGUUAUAAGUCGUAAAUCUAUCGGCCGUACAAUGUUCUUGGCUUGGAUGGAAUGUAACAAAGCGUAUCCAGAAGCCAGAGAAUUGACAUAUGCGGAUUUUCCAUCUAAGUUUGUUUGGAAAAGCAGAGAGCGUGUCUGGAAACCCCGAGUAAAAGGAUUCUCGAUAGGAAGGAUUAUGUAUGUUUCUCCUUCCCUUGGAGCCAAGUAUUAUCUAAGGCUCCUGUUAAAUUCUGUGACAGGUCCUACAUCUUACGAUGACAUCAAAACGGUAAAUGGCAUUAUAUAUCCUGAGUUUGUUGAUGCUUGCAAUGCACUGGGGUUGCUCGCAGACGACCGAAUAUUUAUAGAUGCUAUAAAAGAAGCGAGUUAUUUCGUGAAAGGUUUACCCUUGCGAAAAUUAUUUGUGAUGAUGAUCGUCGCCGGAGAUAUAGUAAAUCCUUUGCGAGUUUGGGAGGAGACUUGUGAUCUACUGUCGGAAGGUAUCUUAUUCGAACGUAGAAAAGUGUCGAGGAAUCCGGGUAGGUGGAUCAUUUCUAUUGUUUAUGAAAUAUAUAUAGCUGUCUUAUUAAUUGAAUAGUAAUAAUAACAUGUUUCGUGUGGUUUGCAGCUUUGACGCUUUCUGAUAAACAAAUAAAAAAUUUCACGUUGGCGUCUAUUGAACUCUUGCUGCGGGAUAACGGGAAGACUCUGUCUACUAUCGAAGGAUUUCCGCAGCCGGAUGAUAUAUCUCUUGAUACGAGUACAAAUCGGCUGUUGUUGGAUGAGCUUGGUUAUAACCACGAAAAAGAAGCGAAAGAACACGUGAGACUCCUAGCCACGAUAACGGAUGAACAAAAAGUAGUUUACGAUGAAGUGAUGAAGGCAGUUUUAGAUAAAAAAGGCGGUGUCUUUUUUCUAUAUGGAUACGGGGGCACAGGCAAAACGUACGUCUGGAGUAUUUUAUCGGCUGCUAUAAGGUCUAUGGGACUUAUUGUUCUUAAUGUAGCAUCGAGCGGGAUAGCCUCUUUGCUGAUGCCUGGAGGUAGAACUGCACAUUCAAGAUUUUCGAUACCUCUAACGGCUGAUGAAUUUAGUAUGUGUGCGAUGAAACCAUCAUCCCAUCUCGGUGAGUUGGUAAAACAGGCUAGCUUAAUUGUAUGGGAUGAGGCUCCUAUGAUGAGCAGACAUUGUUUUGAGACGUUGGAUCGUAGUAUUCGGGAUGUUAUGAGAUGUAAUACUGAUCGGCCGUUCGGCGGUAAAACAAUUGUCUUUGGAGGAGAUUUUAGACAAAUAUUGCCAGUAAUCAGUGGUGCAGGUAGAGAGGAAACCGUUUUGGCCACUAUUAAUUCGUCGUAUAUCUGGGAAAGUUGCAGGCUGUUGAGGCUAACCAAGAACAUGAGACUUUUAGAUGGUAAUUCGGAUGAUGCUGCACAGGAACUCAGAGAUUUUGCAAAAUGGAUUCUUGACAUAGGAGAUGGUACGAUCAACGUUACAGACGAUGGCGAUGCUGAUGUGGAGAUUCCUGAUGAUUUGCUGAUUUCUAAAUGUGGUGAUCCUAUCAAAGCCAUCGUACAUAAUGUUUAUGGGUCAACGUUGGUCAAGGAUAAGGAACUUUCUUUUUUCCAAGAAAGGGCUAUUCUUACUCCGAGAAAUAAUGACGUGUGCGUGAUCAACGACUAUGCGCUAUCACACAUGGAAGGUAGAAAAUUAAUGUUAAAACUUUUAUAUAUUGAUUUAGAGUAUGUUUACUGUUGUUUAUUAUUUUAGUUUGAUAGUGGAUUUAAUGUUGUUUAUUAUUUUAAUUUUCAUUCAUGUUGACGCCCCGGGGUUGUUAGGUGAAGAGAGAGUCUAUCUUAGUUGCGAUAGUAUUGAAUUAUCGGAUGCGGACAAAAGAGAUAAUAUGGUUUAUACACCCGAGUUUUUAAACAGCAUCAAAGUCUCGGGGUUGCCAAAUCACAGGCUGGUAUUGAAAGUCGGAGUUCCAAUCAUGGUUCUACGGAAUAUUGAUCCUAAGAAUGGACUUUGUAAUGGUACAAGAUUACAAGUGACUCAGUUAGCGAAUCAGGUUAUAGAAGCUAGAAUUAUUACUGGUACGAGAGUUGGAGACAUAGUUGUGAUUCCUAAAAUGUACUUGAGUCCCACCGAGACGAGGUUCCCAUUUAGAAUGAAACGUUGUCAGUUCCCGAUUGCGGUUGCUUUCGCAAUGACGAUUAAUAAAAGUCAAGGUCAGACUUUGACUAAUGUAGGUUUGUAUCUACCUAAGCCUGUCUUUUCGCACGGGCAAUUGUACGUUGCACUUUCGAGAGUCACAUCCAGGAGAGGCCUCAAGAUACUGAUAACAGAUGAUAGGGGACAGCCUCAAAAGACUACUAAAAAUGUUGUUUAUCACGAAGUAUUCCAGAACAUUCGUUAGUUUGAUUCUAGGAUUUUUCUCUCCUUUUACUACCUGUUUUGGGCUUUCAGCUUACGACAAUUUUUUUGUUUUAAUUAUAUUUUUUAUAAUACAUUUUGGGUUUUAAAUAAAAGGAAAUUCCAUCGGAUAUUGCCAUCUUUAAAUAAAAAUGCUAAGAAAAUAAAAUGGAAAAUGUCACGCAAAAUGUUAUUAAACAAAAAAAGGGUUGCGACGGUACGUGUCUUGACAAAGGAAGGAAAAUCGAACAUAAAAACAAAAGGGCUGCGACGUUUCAUUGUCUAGGUUAGUUCCCUAUAUAUACUUAGUUGUUAAGCGUUCUUGUGGGCAGACCAUUAUCUUACGCCGCAUAACGAAUUUUCGCAUAGGAGCAGAUAUGUCUUCUCGGUUCACAUCGUCUUCUAUUGAACGUUACAACGAUUUCUCUCGGUUGAACCCUGCAAUUGUUGGAUGGCAUGUUCACGUUAAGGUUUUGCGUCGCUUCCACACCGAUGACUAUAUAUCGAAGGGUGGGCUAGGGUUACUUCUGGUUGAUGAUAAGGUAUUGGUUCGAAAUAAGAUUUGGCUUUUCUUUAGAUAUGUAUUAGCCUUUGUUGUUAUGGAUGUUUGCGGUUUCCCGACUUUUGUGAUUUUGGUUUUGUGAUGCAGGGUAAUCAGAUCGAAGCGCUUAUUUGUUCGCCGUUGACUUUUCAUUAUUCAACGUUUAUUGAAGAAGAUGAAUUCUACGCUAUUAUGAAUUUCAGAGUUGUGGAGAAUUCGGGAUUCACUAAACUAACAAGGAGUGACUUUAAGAUAAUGUUUUAUGAUGGUACUAUCGUUAAAGAAGCGUCUUCGUUUUCUCAAGAUGACUAUAUUGUCGCUACACCUUUUGGUGCUAUUUUCAAUGGAUAUCAUGAUACUUCUUAUCUCAUAAGUAAGUUUUGUUUGUUAUGCUUUACAGAACGUUCAGCGGUUUUAGUUAUUUAUUUUCCUUAUGUAGAAAUCUUGAUAUUUGCUUGUAGCUUUGAUUGGGCGGGUCGUCGAGUCGAGUGAUCUUACGAACGUGACCGAUGAACCAUCUGUCAUAGGGGGAUACAGAUACUCAUUCACCAUUGAAGAUCAAGAGUACGAUUUCUUUCAUCGUUGGUUAUUUGAAAUUACAAUAUAAUAUAUUUAUUGAAAUCAUGAUAUAAUAUGUUUAUCGAUUCACAUACAUUUUUAUUUUGAUUAAUAAAUAGGAAGAAGACCCUCAAGUGUUGUGCAUAUGGAGGAGUGGCGAUAGAGUGCCAUGAUCGGUUUAGAAAUGUGAUUGGUACGGAUGUUACGUGUGUUCUUCGCUGGUGGAAAGUUUAUCAACUCCUUGAUGGAUGGAGGCACGUUCGUAUCUACAGCCAUCCCCCCUACUCGAAGAUUCUGGUCCAGAGCGAUGCCGAUAACGUCGAGCACUCUUGAUAAAUUAGUAUUUAUCAUAUUUAAUAUGUGCUUUAUUUGUUUCCUUAGAUUAUGCAAUGUUGCGUUUGGUUUUAAAUUAUGACAUAUUACUUAUUUUUUAUUAUUAUUAAUAGAAACUAUCUUAUUAUGAAAGAUGCACUUUGUUAUGUACCGAUACAGUGAUAUCUUUGGUAAAUAUUCACUUCUUAUACUUUAUGCAAAAAAUCCCCCCCCAAAAAUAGUAAAUAUGUUAGAUUUAGCUAAAAUUGAAAAAUCUGCAAAAUAUUUUCGAAUCUCUGUUUAAGACUUAUUACUUUUUUAUACUUCUGAUAAUUCCGAAUCUAAUGUUAAAUAAUUGGAAAAUCCGGAUCUAUAUAUAUAUAUAUAUCGAUUUAUACUUGGCUUCGGUGUUUAUAACCACCAGGAUCGAUGGAAUCGUUUAGAUGUCAUGGGUGGCCUUUUGACGUUAUGACCUAUAACAGAAAUAUGUUCACUAUAUCAUCUCUGAAUCCGUUGAUCCAUGAAUGGAGUACUUGUGUUAAGAUUUUGCAUGUUUGGCACGAACUCGACGAUGUUAGUAAUGCACUAAACCUUAUUUUGAUGGAUAAUCAGGUUGGUAAUUCUUCAAAAUAAACUGUAAUCGGUAUUUGUGUUAAGAUUUUGUAUUGAGAUGUUUUAAUGUUUUGUAAUUAAAUCAGGGUACGAAAAUCCGAGCCGUCAUUCGCGAAAGUUUGGUAACUAGGUUUUCGCCAUUACUGAUUGAGGGUCUCUGGAUGAUAUUAAGAAAAUUUUCGUUAAUCCCUGAUGUCGACUUAGUCAGAACUACUCCACAUAGAUUCAAGAUUCAGUUCUCUCCUGAUACAUGUGUCGACUAUCUUAAUUACCUCGCAUGUGAUUAUGAUUUCUUUAACUUUGCGAGAUUUCGUGAUAUUCGUACGGGUAUAAGUAACCCGUAUAUCUGUGUAGGUGGGAUUAUAUUCGUUUCUCUUCUGGUUAGAUUUUUCCCAUAACUACUCUAAUCAUUACGUUGUAUUGUUUUCUUUAGAUUUGGUCGGGGUUGAUAAUGUGAAUGACAUACAACUCGUGCAGAUGGUGGGCUCUUCGAAAGAUAUUUCUGUGGUUUAUUUUGACCUAAUUGAUACAGAGUAUUGAUUCUUAGUCUUAUACAGAUAUAUAAUUUUGUUUUCUCUCAACGAAUUUGUCAUAAUAAUGUCAACUUUGGUAUAAAUUUGUAGGCAUACGCGUUUGAGUAUCAGACUGACCGGUGAAACCGCCGUUAGAUUUCAUAGACAGUGGAAAGUUAACACCGACGAUGUCGUGAUUUGUAACAUCAGAUUUGCCAAGAUAGUGGCUACGUCUAAUCGUAUGUGGCAUUGCACAAACAUUGGUUGCUCUAAAAUUAUGGUGGAUGCUCCGCUGCCUGGUGUUGUAGAACUAAAAGAAUGUGGGCUGAUUACUGCGGGAGUCCUAGGACGGGGGUCAAAGAAGCUCGAUUGGCCUAAUUUUGUAUGAUUCUGUAUUUUUCGUUUGGGUGGUUUAUUUUCAGUUUACUGAUUACAGAGUCGGCAUUUGUAAUCGGUUUUAACAUUUCGAAAGAUUGUUAGACAUUUCGCUUUUAGUGAGUUUUGGUAAUUUAAUCUAAACUUAAUUUAUUAAUCUUAUGGAUAAAUUCUAUAUCGUUUAAUCAAUAUUCGGUUUUGUUAAUUUUCUGAUUUAGUUUUUAAUAUAAGAAUUUUCCAUUUUGUAUUUCGGACCGUUAGAUCGAGCUAAAAACAACCAGAUAAAAACUACAACCAUCCGAUCUUAACUUUGACACUUACCUCUGCCUUCCCUAUUAUAAUAAUCAACUUUAUUUACGAGCGUCAAAUUAACAUCUUAUUAGACGCGAGUAAUAUUGGCCGUCCGAUCAACACGUGUCUAUAAAAAACAUGGGCCAGUCCAUUAAUCUCUUUGAAAUCAUGGUCCAUUCGUUUAUAUAGUCGGGCUUUGGGAUCAAUUAGUUCGGGCUUUGAUACAUUUGAUCCCCGUCGCCGUCCGAUUGAGAUCUCCUCUCAUUCUCUACCGUCUGAUUUGGUUACUAACAUGGUCAAACCUUAUUAAAGAAUGUACUACUUUCCAAAAUACAAAAUAAGAUAAUAAGUAUAUUUCUAUAUUUAUAUAAAAUAGUAUGUAGAUCCAUAGUAUAAAAUCGUAAAUUUUCUUCUUACAAAUGUAUAUAUAUAGUGUUAUUUCGUUUUUGUAUUAGCGAUGAUAUCGUAUAAUAUCGUUGUUAGACGUAUCCAUUUAGGUAUAUUUAACUUAUAUUAUGCGAUAAAUACAGAAAUAUUCCAAACAAUUUUGAUUUGUAAUUGUCUAGAUAAUGGCAGAUCUCUAUAUUUUUCUUAAACCAUAACAAACUGUACAACAUGCUCUUCUUCUAUAAAUACUGAUUGUGUCAUGGUCGAAAAUUGUAGACAUUCGUUUAUAGUUGUUGUAAAAGUUCUACAAUGAAAUAUACGGUUAUAAUUUAUGCUCUGUUUACUGUGUAGUAUUGUUUCUGUGUGAUUUGUUUUUUAUUGUUCGUAUGAUUGGUAUCUAAUAUGGUUAAUUUAAUUACUGGAAUAGGGAUCCGGAUACGGUGAUGGGGUCCUUUCUCAAUUUCUGGUACGUAUUGAUUGUUUAAAACUAACUGUUUCUUAUGAGUUUAUAUACUAAUUAUUAUUUCUUAUCUAACAUUAAUUGAUAAUUGUAUUAUUAUCUUAUUUACAAGGAUGUUACAUCCGAUUCUUCGUGUAUCUCUGACGUCGAGGUAUAUAUUCCUUUGAUCAUGUGUGUUAGUUUUUUCUUUUUGUUUAUUCUUUUAAUCUUUUAAAUCUAACUUUUAUAUUUGACGUUUAUACACAGGAAAACGUCAAAGAGGUAGGCUACAAACAUGUUUGUUUCGUCUCCAUGUUGAUAGCGAAUUCGUAUUCUCAUACAAAUAGUUUUAAUACAUUGUUUCUUUCUUAUGUAGUAUCUCGAUGAUGUGUCUGCUGCAGUUGAUCUUUCUUCUGUCCUGGUAAAUAUCUGACACGGUCGUUAAUUAGUAACGUUUUUAUCGUCUCUAUAUAUUGAUGUUAACAACACAAUGUUGAAUUUUAUAUUUAUUUGAAUUCCUAGCAUGUCGAGGCCAGUGCUGCAGUUCUAUCGUUAGAUGAGGUAAUUAUUGAAUUACUUGGUUACUAUGUAGUUGUAUAUUAUUAAUAUAUAAUGUAUGAUUCAACUACUUUAUCUUUAUCUAACGCUAUACUGUUUGUAAAUAACAAGUUCAAGGAUGUGCUUUCGGAUCUAGGUGCAUUGUCGGCCGAUAAAGAUUACGUUUUGGCUGUACUUUACCUGGUAUAUUAUUAUUGGGUUUUUAUUUAUAAUAUUACGCAUUUUAUUCCUAUUUAUACUCUAUAUAUAUUGACAAAUUAUAAUCCGUAAAUAUUGACAAAUAUACUAUAGGAAUCUCGGACACAGUUGAAGUCUCUAUACUUGAGAUAUCUUUUGUCCAGAUAUCUACAGGUUGGUAUAUGUUGUCAAUUUUUAUAUUCGAUAUGUAUGUUUCGAAGCUUAAACAGAAAAAUAAAAAGAAAAAAACUUAUAUCUUCGUUGAUUUGUAUAGGAGGCAAAAUCAUUGGACCCUCUGAUGCAGACUAAAAAGGUUAAUUGGUAACUCUAUAUAGUGUGCAGUUUGAUUUAUUAUUUGGUAACAUUCGUUCCGAUUUACGUGUUUGAUAAAUGUUGGUAAUAUAAGUUAUAUUGCUUAUACUUUAUUUUGUAUAUCUUCCAGAAUUAUGCUGACUUGCGCAUGAAGUAUUUUGGUGAUGGGGUGAGAUAAUUUAUAUCUAUCUUACUAAUAGUUGAUGUACAUAUAUUAUAUAUAUAGUCAGUUUGUAUUCAUGUAAUAAGAUACUAAUGUGUUGUCUAUUAUUAUCUUGAAGCGUUUUGUUGCUGCUGGUAUGAAGCCAUACCCGUCUGACGGUCUUGAGUGUGAUGAGAUUUUAAUGAAUACCAAUGAAGAUACUCUUGAGUGUAUUAAUGAUAUUGUCAUCAGUAGUUGGCGUUUAUGCCCGGCGUAUCUACGCCUUCGUUUUGUUGAAUCGUUGAUACUCUAUAAAAGCAUUAAUGUCCACACGGUAUGGGACGCUUGCUAUCGAGUUUUGAGUGGUGAUGUGUUGGCUGAACAGAAAAUCGCGCGUAAUAAUCCUGGUAUUAAUCUAUCAUCAAUACUAAAUACUUAUAGAUGUUGUUUGACUUGAUAGUUGUGUCUCAAAAAGGUGUUGCUUUUUAUUACACUAGGGUUGGAGUUAUCCGAUGUGCAAUUAGAGUGGUAUGGUUUUCGUGUUAUGCGUAAGGUGAUGGGUGAUCUUGGAUUCCAUCAUGCCGGUUUUGAAGGUGUGCGUCUUGGUAUAGUUCGCCGACUCUUAACUUACAAAUGUGAUGACAUGUCAAUGUGAUAUUGGCCUAGAUUUGUUAUCGUUGUCUUGGUUUUGCUUUAUCGGUGUUAUAGUUUCGGUAUUGGUUUAUUAUUCCACCUAAUACUAUCAAUAUAAUAGUGUCUUGGUGUUAUUUAUUUUAUCAUUUUAUCGUUAUGGGAAUUAUUAACCUUUCUGAUUUAUUAUUUAUGAAUUUGUUAUUUUAAUUGGGUUUGUUCUUUCUUGUGUAUUUAAUAUGAUUAUCGACUAUAUCAUGUUCGUAAUGCGAAUUAUAUACGAAGUACCGCGUAAUCCAUAAUUUUUAACUACAUGUAUUUGUUGCUGUAUCACUUUUUCUAAGAUAUUCAUUUAUAACUUUUUCUAGAAUAUUUCUGUUUAUGCGUAAUUUUCUUUGAUAGUUGAACAAUAAUGCGUCUGUGUUUGCUAUCAUUGUUACAAAGACUUAGAACUUCCGACGACUGUUAUCAUGUUUCUCGACACAUAGACGAUGCGUGUAGGUUAUCAUCGCUUAUCUCUUCUGUAAUUUUUUUUAUUAUGUUCGUAUCCGGUAAAAAUUGAAUGGGAUUAACUGUACUGUUUUGUAGUAAUAACUAGAAAAUAACCAGUUGCGAUUUGACGUCGUCUGUACCGUAUUUUAUAGUUCGAUAUAUCUACUUGCUUUUAGAUAUUCCGUUUCAUUUUAAUAUAUACUCUCUCCUCUGUUUUAUUAUUAUUAUUCACGCUAUUAUAUAUAAGCAAACCAAACAAAAAGAACAAAAAAAAAAAAAAAAAAAAAAACAACUACUACAUCAACACGCCCGAAAAGAAAGAAAAAAAUAUUAUUUUAUCGCGAUUGUUAUGGAAAUCGCGUGUAAUAAUAAACAAAAUCUCUACAAUUAGGGAUACUGUUAUGAUAUGCAUCGAUUGUGAUAAAUACUAAAUUGACACUUUUAAUAGUUACAAUUUUAUUUAUAUAGUAUAGUUUCUGGAUAUGCGUUAUAGUUCUAUAUAUAUUUCGCUUUAGUGAGUUUUUGUAAUUUAGUCUGAAAGAUGUUAUAUGAUAUUAGUUAAAAACUCUGUUGAGGUGACAUACAUGAUACAUAACUUGUCAUUGGUUAUAGUUUUUUUGUAUUACUCAUUCAAAAAAGUUGUUUCUCAAAAUGCAUCGUGUGGUUUUGGUUUCCGUCGUUAGGUAAAAUGGAACUUUAUUUGCGUCCCUAAUAACUUACACCAUUUGUAUAUAUUAUUAUUAUGGUGUUGAUAAUGGGGUUAUUACGAGAAUGAGCAUUUAUUAGGUCAAAAGUUUGAUUUUAGGUUUUUCUAUCCCGACUUGCAUAUUUAGGUAUUUUUGGAUUUAGUUAAAUGACAUUUUUGCCCCUACUGAAUUAAAUGGAAUUUUGGAAAAAUUUAAAAAUUUGACAAUUCUUCUCCGGUGGAAUUAAGAAGAAAAGCGUCUUGGACACCUACAGUCGCUGGGCUGAGCUACCGGAGAAUCCGCCUCCAACCGCCGCAUGCUUCCUCCUUCCAGAUCUAUCCCACCGUCUCGCUAUUUACCCUAUGGCAACUUCGAUUUUUACUUUCACGACACACAGUCCACCGCCCGUCGAUGUGGAGUGGAAGCCAUUGGGUUUGCGGAGGUCUUGGGUUGCUCACUUGUGGCGGAUCUGUUGCCGCUUGAAGACGACGGCACGAUCUGCUCUCCGAUUCGCCGCCAACAUCAUCUCCGAUCCGAAACACAAAACCUCUCCUCCGCCAACACCAUCUCCAAUGAGUUGGAUUCAACUAAUUCUUUUUGAAUAACAAAAAAUAAACCCUAAGGGGAUAGUAUCCUCUAAACCCAAGGGCUCCAAUUGAAAUAAUUGUCAAAAUUAGGAUCUGGGUUUCCAUAAUCUUCAUGUUGGUAAGUGAAGGAGAAAGCUUAAAGUUUUUGUCGUUCACAAAAAAAAAAACAAUUAUUUUUGCUUCAAUUGGUGACAAGGGUAAAAACGACUUUUCCGAUGUUUGAGGAAUGCUUAAAACAGAAGUAUGGGCAAAUAAACCCAAACUGAUAAGUUUGACUGAAAAAAGUACCGAUCCGGUAAUUAACUCUGUUGAUAAUAGAGUGAUAUUUUUUACCCUUAAGUUUCGUUAGUAUAUAUUUCAGUUUAACUGUUGAGAUUUGGUUUCUUUUUUAAAAACUUAAUUUAUUAAUUUUAUGGAUAAAUUCUAUAUCGUUUAAUCAAUAGUCGUUUUUGUUAAUUUUCUGAUUUAGUUUUUAAUAUAUAUUUUCCAUUUUUAUGUUCUUUCCAAAUAAUCGUUAGGUCUACAUAUAUGUAUCCCGCAUUUAUACCUCAUUGGAAUAUUUACCCGCGUAAUCUUUUGUUAUGGGUUCUACAAUGAUACCUUUUACAUCUGAUUCAUGUGAUGGUGGUUAUUUUCGUAUUGCGUCUCUUAACCCUAACAUAGGUGAGUGGUCUGUCUCGGUGAAGAUUUUGAAUUGUUGGUCUGUUUCGCGUGGCACGGGUAGAGAGCUCAAUAUGAUUUUGGGUGACGAGCAUGUUAGUUUUUUGAUAACUUACCUGCUAUACAUGUUUUCGAUAUUAAAUUGAAUUGGUUUUGUCUUUGACAUUUUAUUUGCAGUUCACACAAAUCCAAGCCGUUGUUCGUGAUGAAUUAAUUGAUAAUUAUCUUUCAAGAUUGAUAAUCGAUGAGUGGGUGAGCAUUAAAAAUUUUGAUGUAUCACGGGUUAACAGCAUAUUGAGACCAGUACCGCAUAGAUUCAAGAUUGUGUUUCGUUCGGACACUUUAGUGCAAAGUAUUAAUAUGUGCUCCAGUAGGACCUAUUUCAAUCUAACUGAGUUUGUGAGUAUAUUGAGUGGUAUUGUUAAUCCGAAUAUUUGCGUUGGUAAGCCUAAUUUAUAAAUUUAUUUGUGCUUUUGGAGUUUAUUUGCGGUUCAUGUUCUGACUGUAUUAUUCAUGUGUGUGUUUCAUAGAUGUUGUUGGCAAAAUUGUCAACGUGAGAGAGUUGGUUUUUGUUCCUUCCGUGGAACAUUCUCAAGGAGGAUAUUUUGAGCUGUACUUUGGUUUACGUGAUACUGAGUAAGUCACUAUUCUUUUAAAGAUUUAAACCAGAAUAUAAUGUCUUAUGACUUCUUCAAAUCUUAAAAUUAGGUGUAUCCAUCUAGAGUGUCGUUUAACGGGUGACCUUGCAGUCGAGUUCUAUGACUUAUGGAAGCAUCGUUCACGUAACACAGUGAUAUGUAUUAUCAAGUUUGUGAAAUUAGAACUAUCACAGGAACAUAGGUGGAGAUGUACCAAUGUUACCGGAAGUACGAGGAUUAUGUUGAAUCUGGAUCUCAGUAUUACCGACGAGAUGCUUUGUUGGUAAGUAUUUUUUUUUCCGUUUACAAUCAAAACUCUAAAGUUGGCGACUGGACAUUCACUGUUUAUGGUGUUCUUAAUCGGAUGUCAGGAAUCCUGAAAAUGACCAAGUACCAAUCAUCACACGGAAGGAGAAUGCCAUGGAGUGAUGAUGUUCGUUGAUUUCUUAUUUUGUUGGUAAAUGAUUUUAAAAGAUGAUUUAUUAUUAUUUUUUAGCAUUUAUAAUAUUAUUGAAUUUUUUAAAUUUCAUCAUUUUCCAUAAUUUUACCACACUAAAUCCUAAACAAUUUACCAUUUUUUUCUUACACUACCAAGUAACACCUAAACAAUCCCUUAUUUCACAUGAUUUUACCAUUUAUACAACAUUCUUCCCGCGCAUGCGCGCGGGCAAUCACCUAGUUAAAUCAUAUUUAUGUAGAAAGAAUCUCACUUUGAUAGUCAAUCACUUUGUGCGCGAAGAAAUUUGACGAAAAGGGUUACAAAAAAAUGGAUUUUUGACGGUUUUUUUUUUUUUUUUGGUAGGAAUGGAUUUUUGACGAUUGAUUAUAAACGUUUAAUUUUUUAGUAAUAUUUUUGAGUUCUCACUUCUUCUUCUUCUUCUUCUUCUUCUUCUUCUUCUUCUUCUUCUCGUAAAACCCUAAUUCUUGAUUUGGCUAUGGAGUCCGUCGAAUUGAACAAUCCCAACCCCAAUUCGCAAACCCUACAUCAACCUCCUCCUUCCUCCAACGGAGACACUGCUCCACUCGCAUCGGAUCAUAUGAAUCCUCAGAAUUCGGAUUCUGUGGCUUUAAACGGUUCGUCUACUCCUACACCCGAUACUAAUGGUUCAUCAGCAAAGCCUGAGUUCUUGCGUCCUUUGCUAUCGGAGAACGAUAAGGAUCAGUCUGGUGGAGAGGAAGAAACUACGAGCAGGAGGAAGCGUCGGAGCCGGUGGGAUCCUCCGCCUUCUGAAGGGGGUACUGAUUCCGAACCUGGAAUUAGGAAGCGUAAGUCGCGAUGGGCAGAUGAUGAGCCCAAGCCGCAGAUUCAGUUACCUGAUUUCAUGAAGGAUUUCACCGGAGGUAUUGAGUUCGAUCCUGAGAUUCAGGCUUUGAAUAGUAGGUUACUUGAGAUUAGUAGGAUGUUGCAGUCUGGUAUGCCUUUGGAUGAUAGACCGGAAGGACAGAGGUCUCCUUCACCAGAGCCUGUGUAUGAUAAUAUGGGAAUUAGGAUUAACACUAGAGAGUAUAGAGCAAGGGAGAGAUUGAAUAGAGAAAGACAAGAAAUCAUUGCUCAGAUUAUCAAAAAGAAUCCGGCUUUUAAACCUCCAGCAGAUUAUAGGCCUCCUAAGCUCCACAAGAAGCUUUUCAUUCCAAUGAAGGAGUUUCCUGGUUACAAUUUUAUUGGUCUCAUUAUUGGCCCCAGAGGUAAUACUCAGAAGAGAAUGGAGAGGGAGACGGGUGCUAAAAUUGUUAUUCGGGGUAAAGGAUCUGUAAAAGAAGGUAGGCAUCAGCAGAAAAAGGAUUUGAAAUAUGACCCUGCUGAGAAUGAAGACUUGCAUGUUUUAGUUGAGGCUGAGACUCAGGAUGCUCUUGAAGCUGCUGCUGGUAUGGUUGAGAAGCUUUUGCAACCUGUUGAUGAAGUGUUGAACGAGCACAAGAGGCAACAGCUCAGGGAACUUGCUACCUUGAAUGGAACAAUAAGGGAUGAAGAAUUCUGUAGACUGUGUGGUGAGCCAGGACAUAGACAGUAUGCAUGUCCUUCUCGUACCAAUACCUUUAAGAGUGAUGUUCUUUGCAAGAUUUGUGGUGAUGGUGGACACCCUACUAUUGAUUGCCCGGUGAAGGGUACUACUGGGAAGAAAAUGGAUGAUGAAUAUCAGAACUUCUUAGCAGAGUUGGGAGGAACUGUACCUGAAUCUUCUCUCAAACAGAGUGCUACCCUGGCUCUUGGUCCGGGAAGUAAUCCUCCAUGGGCUAAUAAUGCAGGGAAUGGUGCAAGUGCGCAUCCUGGCUUAGGGUCAACUCCGACCAAACCCCCCUCCAAAGAAUAUGACGAAACAAAUCUGUACAUUGGGUUCUUACCUCCGAUGCUUGAGGACGAUGGUUUGAUUAAUCUUUUUUCAUCCUUCGGUGAAAUUGUGAUGGCAAAGGUAAUCAAGGACCGUGUGACUGGGCUGAGCAAAGGCUAUGGUUUUGUGAAGUACGCUGAUGUGCAGAUGGCUAAUACUGCUGUUCAGGCAAUGAAUGGCUAUCGGUUCGAAGGCCGAACACUCGCUGUCAGGAUUGCAGGCAAAUUGCCACCGCCUACUGCACCUCCAGGACCUCCAGCACCAACUCAAGGUUAUCCUCCCUCAAACCAGCCUCCUGGUGCCUAUCCUUCUCAACAGUAUGCAACUGGUGGUCAACUGCCAAAUCCUCCUGUAGGUUAUUCGACAGCUCCAGUUCCUUGGGGUCCUCCUGUUCCCUCCUAUUCUCCAUAUGCUCCUCCCCCUCCACCUCCUGGUUCUUACCAUCCUGUCCAUGGUCAACAUAUGUCUCCUUAUGGAAUGCAAUACCCACCACCACCACCUCAUGUGACACAAGCACCUCCACCUGGCACUACUCAAAACCCAUCUUCUAGUGAACCCCAGCAAAGCUUCCCACCAGGAGUACAAGCUGACAGUGGUGCUGCUACGUCUGUACCACCAAAUGUCUAUGGUAGCUCAGUCACGGCUAUGCCUGGACAGCCUCCAUAUAUGAGUUAUACGUCUUACUACAAUGCUGUUCCCCCUCCACCACCUCCAGCACCGGCCUCGUCUACUGAUCAUUCCCAAAACAUGGGUAACAUGCCAUGGGCCAACAAUCCUCCUGUCUCAACACCUGAGCACUCACAAGGUCUUGGUAAUGCAUCUUGGGCACCUAAUCCUCCUAUGCCGCCCACUGUUGGUUAUUCACAGAGCAUGGGGAACGUACCCUGGGCUCCCAAACCUCCAGUACAGCCCCCUGCAGAGAAUCCAUCCACUGUUGGAGAUUCUGAGUAUGAGAAGUUCAUGGCUGAGAUGAAGUAGCAUGUGUGUUCUGAUGAGAAACUCCGUAGUGAAGAGGUAAAAUGUCCUCAUUUGAUGUUAUUGUUUGUUCUCCAUACAGGUUUUGAAAUUAAAAUUUGAAAUCGAAUCAAGUGGCUUUCAACAUAGGAUAAAACUUUACUUUCAAAAACCCAGUUAAGAAAGGAAAGAUAUAGCUAUCAAGCUGAAACUUGAACAGGAAUUUCCCUCAACUUUUCCAACGUUUUCAAAUUGCUUUUUUCUUUUAACAUCAUUUUUGCAACAUCAUCAGUUGCAGGAUGAACCAUUUUGUCCAUUAUUUUGUUCUUGAAAGCCUUCCUGCUUAUGUAAUUUAUCUGUUCCUAGUUUUAUCACAUGAUAACUAACUGCUCUAGCUCAUAAUUUGGUCACUGAUGUGUUUGUGAGCAUGCCACAGCUAAAGGAGUCCUGGUAUUCGAUUCUGAAACAUAGAAUCUGGGAGUUGGAUGUUCGAAUUUUGUCAGUUACCCUUUUUGCUCUAUGUUUUGUUCAGUAAACUACUAAUGUGUUUUCUGUCCCACAUGGAAAGCAUUUGUUUUCACUUCUAAGUUUUUCCAUCUGACAACAUCAAAACUGCCACUAGCAUAGAUUCCAAAAGUUUGUUAUUAUAUACGGCUCAUUAACACGAAUUUUUGUUUUGUUGAUAUUGUUAAUUUUUUCAGGUGUGAUGUUUCUUGGAGGUCUUGUACCCUGAUUUCUUACAUCUUUCUUGUUGGAAGUUUGGGACUCACAUCUUAACCCUUGCUAUGCUGUUGUGAAAUAUGCAGAGAUACAGGCUGGAAGCUCCCGGUUCAGACAAUCAGAAAGGCCAUAAGAAUUUUAUUAACGUUACUGAUAAUAUUGCUGCUCUUUUGUAGGACUAUAUUUAUGUCUGGGGUUCUUGUUUCAUUUCAUAAUACUCAUAUUUACCGUUGAUCAGUGUGUUAAGUCUAGUCUGCUUCAGCUCUCACAAUUUUUUAUGUACUGUUUCAAUUUGGGAGUAAAAAACUUUUGGUGGUAUUGUAGUGCGAAAAAUAUCCGUUAUUCUUUGUGAUGCAAGAUAUGAUCCUCUUACUCUUGAGGUCAUCUCUUUCGUUUAUCUUGUCUCUUGUGUGCAUAGGGAAUUCAUCAGUUCUCGCAGGAACCUGAAGGCAACAGGGGUAUGUUGAACUACAUUGGACAUAUUUACCACUGAUACUUGAUGGUUAUUCUCCACCUUGAUUCAGACUUGUAUUACUGAUAUAAUAAUAUCUUUCAAGCUUCCAUGUGGCAGGUGUGAUUUCUGGCUAGUGAUCCAGAUUUUAACUUUAAUAACUUUGUUCUUGUUUUCAAGCUUGAUCUAUAUCUGUCUAAAUGAUGACAUGCGUGCAUGUUCCAGGAAUCAUGAUAUUACUGCAAAGAAAUCAGCCUAUGUGUCAAACUUAUGCACAGUUUAUGUUGUCUCAAAAGGAGUAUAUAUUCUUUCAAGAGAUAAAUUAUCAUCAACACGGAGACACAGUUUAUGUUGUUUUGAUCUUAGUCUUUCUCUUUGUAAACAUCAUUAUGAUGUAAUAAUAUAAGUCUACCUUUUUUACAUAAAAAUAAAAUAGUGCAUUGAAAAUGUAUUUUCAAUGCAACCCAACGGUGUAAAGGGGCACUAGUAACAAUAACAUCAGAAAGAAGAGACUAUGCAAAAUGAACAACUAAGCAAAAGCAACCAUUAUUGCAUAGGGAUGCAAUGAGAGUACAUAAUUUAAGUUCAAGAAUCCGACCAUAUAUUUUAACUAAGAAAUAUAGUCAGAAUUUAGUUCAAGACAAGAUGGAACAUAAAUUAACAUCACAAGUAACAGCUAAGAUGAGAUAACUUGCAAAGGGAUCAAAACAAGAUUGGAAUACAAGAUUAUAUUUCUCCUCUAUAGCCACCAGAGCCAAAAUAGUCUUUUCUAGAGUUAGAUAUGGCCACACUCUUCUGGUGCUCAAGUUUUGGACAGUCUCGAAUACGAUGUCCAAGACCACCACAAUACGCACAACCCUUGACACCACUUGCAUUCGCAAUGGUCUCUGCUUCUUCCAUUGGAUCAUUCAGUUCAGCAAGGACAGGUGGAAUCCUCUGUUUAGCUUCUUGCAACAAGUGUUUCAAAUCGAGCAGCGUGGUUUCGCUUUGGUUCUUGUUUAUAAAUGUAGUUGCUAUCCCAGUUUUCCCACACCGACCUGUUCGUCCUAUCCUAUGCACAUAGUUCUCAAUCUCUGCUGGCAUGUCGUAGUUGAUUACGUGUUGUAUAUCAGGGAAAUCUAGACCCUUUGAAGCAACAUCAGUCGCGACCAACACAUCUUUUUUCCCAGCUUUAAACGAAGAGAUUGCGUACUCUCUGUCUUCUUGAUCUUUCCCUCCAUGGAUGGCCACUGCUUCCACUCCUUUCAGUAACAAGUACUCGUGAAUAUCAUCAACAUCAGCUUUGUUCUCACAGAAUAUUAAAACCGGUGGAGAUGUUUUCUGUAGACACUCGAGGAGGUAAACAAUCUUUGCUUCUUGUUUGACAUAUUCUACCUCCUGGAUCACAUCGAGAUUCGCAGCUCCAGCUCUUCCUACAUUAACAGUCACAGGUUUCACCAGAGCACUUCUGGCAAAGAUUUGAAUCUUUGUGGGCAUUGUGGCUGAAAACAAAAGUGUUUGACGUUGAGACUUAAAGUGGUCAAAGACUUCCCUUAUGUCAUCUUCGAAACCCAAAUCAACCAACCUAUCUGCCUCAUCUAGUGUCAGGUACCUAUAAUAAGGAAAAAAGGAAGGUAAAUAUUAUUGCCAUCUAACAUUCUCAAGAUUUUGAAAUUAAAUGGCACAACCUCAAGACUCCAAAGACAAGAAAGAUGCAUUCAGAAAGGAACACAAGUGCGGAAAAUUUAUUCAUGAGAGAAAAAACCCUAUCGAAUCAUACAAUAGAGAACAUAUAGAGCAAAGAAGCUCUAAGCCACUAACAGACCCUAGACAAUUCUAUUGAUCUCUCCCGUUUCCUAGGCACAAUAAACCAAAAAGAAACAGAUAUCCUCAAGAAUCUAGCCAAGUGCAAAAGGUCAGAAAACGAGAAUAUAAGAUCAAACAAGGCAGCACAGAGAGAAGACGCAAACAUAUAUUACAAUCAGGUUGAUUAAUCAUAUUGAAAAGAACCAAAGAAGACGAACUAGAGUCAUACCUGCAAGCAUCUAAGCUCAUCUUUUUCUUGGCGAGCAUAUCCUUUAACCUCCCAGGGGUUGCAACAACGAUGUGGACACCUCUCUUGACAACCUCCAACUGGGAUCUCAUAUCAAUUCCACCAAUACAUAGCAACGACCUCAAUGGCGGGUAUCCAGCCUCGACCAAAGGAGCCACAAACUGCUCAACCACUUCAUAAGUCUGCCUAGCAAGCUCUCUAGAAGGGCAAACAAUAAGCCCAAUGGGACCUUCUCCCGCAGCAAUAGGCAUCAUCAUCUCUUCUUGGAGAGCAAUCAUGAUCAUGGGAAGCACGAAAACCAAAGUCUUUCCAGAACCAGUAAACGCAAUCCCAAUCAUAUCCCUCCCAGCCAAAAUCACAGGAAGACCCUGAACUUGAAUAGGAGUAGGCUGCACAAUUCCUUUCUCCUUAAGGGUAUCAAGAACAGGUCUAGGAAACUUCAUAUCCUUAAAGUUCUUGAUAGGAGGAGGAAUAUCAUCACCAUUAACAAUAAUAUGCCAUUGCUUCCUAAUCAAAUCUCUCUGCUUAUUCGACAUCCUCCUAAUAUGCAAAGGAGGUUUCCACCCGGUUAAGAGAGGCUCUGUAUAAGUGAUACCUUUGGCCAAUUCACGAACAGACAUAAGCGUCUUCUUAUCAGAUAAAUGCUCCAUCAUCUCUUUCUCUUGUAAGAUGAUUUGCUCAGUAGCACUAACUUGAGGAACAUCUCGCUUGAGCUGAGUUGCUUGAACGAGUAAACUAGGUUUAGCUUCAGCGAGCUUUUCCUUGUCAGCUUCUUCCUCCAAUUCCGAAGCUUUUCCCUUCCGUUGAAGUAUCUUCUGCGCUUCCAUUGCUCUCCGCUCCGCCACUGAAACAUACUCAACGUAACUAUCGUCGUCUUCCAUGAUGGAUUCAAUAUCGAGAAUUCAGCAACCUAGUAGAAGAGCCUCAAAGCCUGAAAUCAACAAAUUUUUGCAGAUCUCUCGAAUCAAUCGCUAAUACGGGUGACACAGAGGCUCAAAGACAAACUUCAAGACAGAAGCUAAUUAACAAUCAUCAUAAUUUAUGAAAGAACUUCAAGACAAAUUUAAUGUAGAUGUCAAAAAGAGAGUAGCUCUAGCUUAAUUAUUUACCUGCUGAAGUAGCUCUAGGUUUGUCAAACUCCACAGUCUGAAGUAGCUCUGAGAAAAUCAUACUCUGAUUGGUCUCCUGAUAUAGAAGAUGGACUUCUUUCUUUAGAAUCUGAAACAAAAAAAACAAAUCAAUCACAUGAAUAAACCAGAAGUGUCAGGUAAUAAGUUCCAAUUAUUAUCAAUGGGCUAAGUGAAAUACUAAACUGAACACAGACUUCAAAAUUUUCCAAUUCUCAUCAAAGUACCAAACGAGAUAAUUAUUAGAUUCAGACCAAACCACAGAAGAAGAAUAGAGUUCACUCAUAAAAAGAAUAACAAUGCCAAUAAGAAGAAUAACACAGAAGAAAAAGAGCAUUCAAAUGAGAGUCUCUGAAACUAAGCUAUCACAUGGAGUAACUUUGCUAAUUAGAGUAAAAGAAGACGCAGGAACUUGCAAAAGAAUUGUUACCAAAAAAAAAAAAUUACAAAAGAAGACACAGAUAUCUGCUUGAAUAUUUGCAGAGAGAAACCAAACAUAUCACAUGAUUAAAGAAUAUCUAUACUAACGUUCAUGAUACUAAUCUCAUUUCCAUACUAACGAUGAACUAUAUUUUACACAUAUCUUCUUCCUUCAUAUAUAUACUAAUCUCUAUACUAUUCUAAACUAAAGAUGAACUAAGCCAAUUUUGCUCACAAACCCAGAAAACCCAAAACCAAGCUCAAAGAGCAACGAUUUGAUGCAGAACAUGAAGAACCAAGUUCAAAAUGUAAGAAAUUAAAACCUUGGAAAGAAGAAGGGCUUAUUAAGAUAUGAGUAGGAACUAGCUUGGAGUUGUUGAUGUGUUCCGAGGUUAAACUCUGAAUCUCAUUCUUCUGAAAUUUAACAAAGAAUCAGCCAUAAGCCAAAACUCAAAAAACCCACAAUAGAGAUUAGAGAGAAAAACCCAGAAAGCAAAACCUUAGAAAUCAAUUUUGAUAUUGCAAAAGGGAAAAUUAGAGAAAUUACUUCGACUUUGGCUGGAGGAGGAGUAGAGGUUUCCGGUGAUGGAUCUUCGGCUUGGAGUGAUGAUUCCGGAAAAGAAAGAGGAAGUUCCGGUGGAGUUUGUACUGUGACGAAUCGGAGAAAGCAUGCGACGAAUCGGAGAAAGGUUCUCUUUUGCCUCCGACGACGAAUCUGUGAUGGAGGAGUAAACAAAACUAGCGUUACGAAUUUGGUAAUUAUUAACAAAACAUAAGGGCAUGGACGAGUAAACAAAACGUUUCCAAUCGCAUCACCAAUUUACCCUGCGAUCACAAAUUUCAGUCGCGGAUCACAGCGAUUGAUCGCAGCGUUUAGUUGCAGGUUCCUGCGACUGCUAAACGAACAACUUUCAAUUGCAGUUGCAGUGAGUGCCAAACGAACAGCCCCUACAAGCCCAAAUAGUUCUUACUUGUCGGGCCGUUCCGCGUUUUUGUGGGUGACUGGCAGGUACUUUUAGAAAAAAAAAAAGUAUAUUUUUUAUUUUUUCGAAAACAUCUAUGUAUUCACCUGUCAGAAAAAAAAAAAAGAGAAUAAUUGCUUUUCUACUGAAAAGUCAAAAAGCAUAGUAAAAAUGAAAAUUUUAUCCCUCUUCAAAAUAACUAAAGUAAUGUUUUCAUCUAAAGUAACGUUUUCUUCUCUAUUUCUUCUUUAGAAUUCUACUCAUUUCUUCUCAUUUUUUUACCAGUCAAACCUAAUAUAUUUUAGUAAUAUUUUUGAGAAAGUUUUUUAGAACAAAACUCAUUUUAGAAGUAUUUAUGAGAUUAAAAAAAAAAAAAGGUAUUUAUGAGAAUUGCCCACAAAUUUACUCAAUUUUUGGGUUUUACUUUAAUAUUAUUUCACUUUAGGGAAAAGUUAAUUAACAACGGUCUUCAAUUCGUGCAAAGUCUUCGACCGUGUCCCCAACCUUCUCGAACUUCUCUUUGAACCUCAAAUAAUCUCCACAUUUAAAAGACCGAAAUAUCCUCAUAUCCUCACAACCUCCCACCACUUCCUCAGGGUCAAAUACGACUUCACCGACGAGGGGCACGGUGAAUUUUGUUGAGCAUAUCGGCGAUUCUCCCUGAACCAAUCAGCGACUCUCUUUCACUCGAUCUGAGUCUUUUCUUCACCAAAUCGGCGUGUCUCUUUCACCAAGUAUUUCUGAUGGUACGCAUGUCUUUAUCAUACUACGAAUUCUUGUGUAUUUGAAUAUAUAAGAAAUUAGGGUUUCUGUGAUUUUAGGUAAAUUAGGGUUCUUUGUUGUUAGUAAAAUUAGGGUCCUUUGAAGACAAAUAGGGCAUGAUUGUGGUUACUUUUAGUCGAUUUUAGGCAUAGAUUGUUUGUGUCGAUUCAUCUUUUAGUUCGUUUAUGGAAGCCCUUUUCCUCUUCUGUCAUUUUUGUUGUUAAUUGGAAAUUAUAUCUACUUUAGGAAGAUCCUCCUGCUAAUAGCUAAAAAUGUAGCAUCUUAUUAUAUAAAGUAUGAUUUUCAAAGUUAGUAAUUCAUAGGAUCGUGACACGUGUCAAUUUCAUCGAUCUCAGAUUUUGAUAUGUGUUAAACAAAAAUUUCUUCUUUUCUUAAAAAUAUAUAUAAACAAACUAUACGCGCAUGUCAAAUUUAUUGAUAUCAGAUUUUAACACGUGUAAAACUAAAUUUUUAUUUAUUUAGAAAAAAUAUAAGAAAAUAAUACGUAUACAUCUUAUAUAAAAUAAUUCUAAAAAUCUAAAGAAGAUCAUUAUUAGGAAACUAGAUGUAUCUUAUUAAAUAAAAAUAGAAAUCUAAGACAAAAAAAUAUAAGGCAACCAUACAUACAUAUCUUAUAUGAAAUAAUUUUUAAAAAGUAAAGAAGAUAAUUAUAAGGAAACUAUAUGUAUCUUAUUAAAUAAAAAUAGAAAUUAAAAAAUCAUUUACUAAUUCUAAUUUAAAGCUACUAAAGAUUGAUUUUCAAGGGUUUUAAAUUUAAAUUUUUAGGUUUGGGUUGAUUAUUUUAGAUUAAAGGCAUAGUUUUAGGAGGUAGGGUUUACCUUUAAAGGUUGAAAGUUUAAUUUUAGUUUUGUGGUAUUUGGUUUACAAAAAAAAAAAAAAAAAAAAAAAAGUUUUUUGGUAUUUUUGGGAAAACCAGAAAUUAAAUGAAUUAUUGGGAAUAUUAAACUAAUAAUGAUAGUUUUGAAAACCAAAACUUAAGUGUUUUAUUUUUUAGAAUUGUACUAUACUUUUUAUUCGAAAUAUUAUUUUAGUUAAACAAUUCUAAUUGUUAAACAAACUAUGUAAAAGUGAAAGUAAAGAAACAUGAGAAGAAACAUACACUUUGUUUAUUGUGUUCAUAGAGAUAUUUUUUAGGUGGUAGCAAAUAGCAGAUUUCAACAGUAAAAUAUGAUUGAGUCUAAAAAAGAUAUUUUGAGUGGUAAGCUAUUAAAUUGUAAAUAGAUGUAAAUAAGAUGAAGGUUUGACCUGUGGUUUAUAUGUAAAAUAUUUUCUGCAAAAUUUUUGGAUUCAUAUUCUAGGUCUUGGCAAAAUUUUUGGUGAAUGGUAAUUUAAAGUUACUUUAUUAUUAUAAUAAAUGUACCAAGAAAUUCAAACUAUAAUAAUGCAAAUAAGUGUAUUAAGGCAAAAGAUGAAUAUAUAAACAAAUCUUCUAUCUAAUUGAAAAUUUAUCUUCUUAUUUCUUAAAAUAGUUUCUAUUUUUUUUUUAACGUCGUGCAUUGAAUAUCAAAAUGAAACCGAGUUUGAUGACAGAGAAAGAAAAAGCUCAAAAACAGAGCAAAACGAGAAGUAAAAACAGAGCAAGACAAUAGCGUGAAUAAAAACUCGACUAAGAUACCGUCGGUGCAAGAUAGACGAAGGAUUGAGACUCCGUGAAAUGGUUACGUGCAGCGUCUCCGUUCCUCCUCAAUUAUGUUAUGAAGCCAAGCUGGUCCUCCUAUCGCCAUGUAAGAGUUGAAUCGACCUUCUCGUGUGACACUACAGGCAAUAUCCCUGGCCAAGGAAUUGGCUUUCGGUGAAGAGAUGUGAAAAGAAAUAUCCCGCAUCACCUGUACUACCUGAGUAAUUUUGCUGAGAAUAGAUCGAUAUUUUGGCCAAUCUUUCGGUGUAGCUAACGCCCGUAUCGCUGCUGUGCAAUCUGACCAAAUCUCACACGAUUCCACAUGGACUUGAUGUAGACUUUGUAGACACCAUAAGAUGCAAUGUAACUCCGCAGCCACCCUGUUAAACAUGGGAAGAAAAGCAUCUCUAGCGUGUAAGACCGCAUCACCAUUAUGAUUACGUAAUAACCAUGCUCCUCCGCAAUGAAAAAUAUCUUUUAUCCAGGAGGCAUGCACGUUACACUUUAGCUUUCCACUCGCUGGUCUACUCCAUCUUGUUGCGAAAAAUAGUUUCUAUUCACAAUAAAAAAAAUUAAAUAUAUCUAGUUUUUGUUAAAUUUAAUUUUAUUUAAAAUUUUAAAAUCCGCACAUCGGGCGGAUCCUUAUCUAGUUUAUUAUAUAUCACUGACUUGAACUAACUUUUUCUAUCUUUUUUUGGUGGGCAGUGUCUUCGAACGCUUCAUCUCCUCGUCAUGGUAGCCAGUUACCUGACUGAAGCAUGCUUCUUUCUGGUAAAAUAUUAUUAUUUUUGAUAAAAUUUUACUAUUUUUGGAUUAAAAGUUAAUUUUUAUAUAUUUUAAUUAUUUUUAAAUAUAUAUUUAACGGAUUAGAUAUCCGACAAAUAGUCUGGAUUUUUACGGAUAUUCGAACAGCCGGAUAUCCGAUCACUAACGAAGCAAAUACGGAUCAGAAAACUAAUUAUUCGGAUAAAGCAAAUCGGAUCACGAAUACCACCAAAAUUUCGGAUAUCCGUUUUGUGCCCAAUCCCUACGAACCAUGACUAAUUUAAUACAAGUGAUGAUGAUUAUAUAUAUAUAUAUUUUUUGGUGCAUGCAUACAUUAGUUAUUUUUAUUUUAUAAAUUUAAUUUUUAUUUGGGAUAUAUAUUUAACCAUAUAAUGAAUCAUACUUGAUGUACCUGCAAAACAAAUUUCAUAGUUUCUGAAACGGAGCAACGUUGACAUUGCAAAUGUUUCGGCUUCUCUCUUUCCCUCUUUUAUGUCUAAGUGCAUUUUCACAUAUGUAAAUGAUCACUUUAUUUGUUAGUAUUCAUUGGAUUGUGUUGUUGCCAAAAAACGGACAUUGUCACAUAUCCCUUUAUAUUAUAAGGAAGACAAAGGACGUGAGGACAAGAUAUAGAGUCCGAGGCUAUAUCAUGCGACCAACUAAAGUCAAAAAUCAAGAGAAAUUGGAAAUUUGUGUAUCUCAUUAUAUUUUAGCAAGGGCAAAAAAAAAAACAAUUGAAAAUAUGGAAAAAUGGAUAGAAAAACCCUUACCUUUUCUUAAAAACAUAUAAAAAACCUUAACUUUUUUUGUGGGUUUUUAAACCCCCACCUUUUUAUAAAUGGUAAUAUAAACCCUAUUAUUCAUAAAGUCAAUUUAAAUUCAAACAAAUCAUUAUAUUAUAAUAUAAAUAUAUAUAAAUAAUUUGAUUUAGGAUUUUCUAUUCUAAUGUUUACAAUCUUUUUUUUAAUUGAAAUUUUUUAAAAUCAUGAUGUAAGAAAGUUAAUUAAUGAAGUUUUAUUCGGCUGUAUUACAAAAAUUCAUCAACAUGAAACUAAACAAAUUUUGUUACGAGUGACAUAUACAUUCUUUUACCUAACCGAAUAUGAAUUUAUUUUAAUAAAUAUUUAUUCGGUUCGAUCACACAAAUUGCUAACGUGAAACCAAAACAAAUUUUAUAAUACUACGAGAAAAGUAUAAGAAUUUCCACAUGAAAAUAUUUUCAUCAGACAAAGAAAAUAAAUAAACAUUUAUUAGCAGUUAAUAUUUCUAUAUAAAUUAUGAUUUAUUUAAAAUAGAAUUGAAAUAAUUUUAGUUAAUCAUUAUUUAACUAUAUUUUUCUCCAAAAUUGAACCUCCAACUGAAUUUUGUUAUAAUUUUGACUAUUUCUUAAAAUAAAAGAUGAACAUCUCAAACAAACAAAAAAAAAAUCAAAUGUGGUAUCCUAUAAAUUUUUGUAAUUUAUAUAACAUAACUUCUAAUGGUAACAAAACUGAUUUACCUAAUCUCAACUAUAUGGUGAAUGAACUUUUAUAUCGCAAAAACCCUAAUUUUAGAAAGAAAAAUAGCGAACUCGAAUUUGAAAAGAAUAAAUGAUAAAUUAAAUUAUUUUCCUUUAUUGUUAUUUCAGUAUAACGAUUUUAUUUAAAUUUAAGUUGAGUUUAUGAAUAUUAGGUUUUAUUUUACCACUUAUGAAAAGGUGAGGGUUUAAAAACCCACAAAAAAAGUUGAGGGUUUUUGAUAUGUUUUAGGAAAGGUGAGGGUUUUUCUACCCAUUUUUCCUGAAAAUAUAGAUCAUUUAUAUGAAUCUCAUUAUAUUUUAGUAAUCUUUAGAAUUAAUUCGUAAACUAACACCAAAAAUCAAGUGAAAUACUAUUACAUGUCUAGUUAAAAGAUGAAAAAUCCAUUAAAAUAUAGGGAGAGUUUACAAAAUAUACUCAAAUUUUAAUAUCAUAAAUCCCUAGUUACAUGUAAGAAAUAUUUUGCAUAAAUAAUAAUAAUUUCCAUAUGUUUAAAUAAUUUUUUUUAUUUAAAUGUUAGAUUUAUCACUAAAUUUUGUUUUCCAUGAGAAAAUUAUUUUGUAUUCCUAGAUGAUAUCUUAUUAUAUAAAAUAUGAUUUUCAAAGUUAGUAACUCAUAUGAUCGUACCACGUGUCAAAUUUAUCGAUCUCAGAUUUUGACAUGUGUAAAUAAAAAAUUUCCUUUUAUUUAGUUUUUAAAAAAGGAAAGUAUAAAUAUAUAUCUUAUAUCAAACAAUUCCAAGAAUCUAAAGAAGACAUUUAUAAGAAAAUUAUACGUAUAUCUUAUUAUAUAAAAAUAGAAAUUAUAAAAUUAUUUACUAAUUCUAAUUUAAGUUACUAAUUCUAAAAGAAAAAUACUAUUUUCUUAAAAAUAAAAAAGUAUUUAAGAACAUACUAAUUAUAAAAUUAAUUAAUAAAAUACGAUAAUUAAGAAAAUUAUACAAAAAAUUAUUAAUCUUAAAAGAAAAAUUAUACUCAUCUCUAAACAAAUAGAUUGUCUCCUAAUUUUUCACCAAACAAAAUAGUUUCUUCAAAAACACCACAACUGCUCCUAUUUAUUUAGUUCUUUUUUUUUUUUUUUUUUAUAUAAAUACAUCAUCAAUUAUUGAUAUGUGAUAUUUUUUUGAGAAAUUUCUUAAAAUACCACGCUUUCAAUUUUUUUUUUUUUACGAAAAAUACCACUAUUAGUUUAAUGUUCGAAAAAUAUCACACAAUUUUUUGUUUUUUUUUUUAAAAUACCACAAACACAAAAAUUGAUUUUCAAGGGUUCAAAUUUAAGUUUUUAUGUUUGGGUUGAUUAUUUUAGAUUUAAUGUAUAGUUUAUAUGGGGUUUGGUUUAGUAUUUAGGGUUUAGCUUUGAAGGUUAAAUUCUAAUUUUAUUUUUGUGGUAUUUUUGGGAAACCCAGAAAUUAAGUGGUAUUUUACAAUAUUAUAUUAUUAAGUGUGUAUUUUUGAGAAUUGUCAUAUAUUUUCAUUAUAAAUACUUUUUGAGUUAAACAAUUUUAAUGGUUAAAGAAACUAUGUAAAAGUGAAAGUAAAGAAACAUAUCAUUGGCUUAAUAUGUUAAUAGAGACAUUUUUUAAGUGGUGGUAAACUCAUGCAACACUAAAAUAUGAUUGAGUGUUGAAAAUACAUUUUGAGUGGUAAAUGUGGAUGUCGGAUUCACACACUCAAGUAUUUUUAUUAUAUAGGAAAGAUUAUUCUUGAGGGACAAAAAAUAAGAAUGUAAAAGGCUUAUGAAUUGCUACAAAAAUUGCUAUAGUAUUUCUCGCUCAAGAGAACCCUCCCUUUUUACAUGGCCAUUGGCCUUUAUAUUUAUACAUAGAAGAAUGACAUUUAAUGGGCUAAUUAAGUAUAAUUAUUCUCUCUUAAACGUGACCGUUUUGGUCUUUGACUUUAAUGAUAAACGUUCGAAUUUGAAUUGAUUCUGAUCUUCAUGGGCCUCGCCUUUUGGCCCAAAUGUCCUUGGACCGAUUUGACCAUGACUUCGUCUCCGGAGUGGUGUUGAGGUGCAGUCACUUCGGAUUCUCCUUAUAGUGAUAACCACUUCGACUGUUCUUUUGACUUGUGGAUCUAAUGGGCUUUAUCCUUUAUUGGCCGUUAUCCUGACUAGGUGGCAAUCUUUGGUUGGUUCCGAACAUUUGGUGCGGGAUCCGACACCAACAGUAAACUAUUAAAUUUUUAAAUAAAUGUAAAUAAAAUGACGGUUUGAUAUGUGGUUUAUAUGUGAAAUAUUUCAUGAAAAAGUUAUGGAAUCAUAUUUUAAGCGAAAUUGCAAACCAUGUUUCUUGAGAUUUAACAAUAAUAAUAACUAAUAUUUUGGCAAGUAUUUUGGUGAUUGGUAAUUUAAAUUAACUUGAUUAUUAUAAUAAAUGCACUAAUAAAAUUAAAAUAUAGAAAUGCAAAUAAGGGUAUUAAAGCAAAAAGAUGAAUAUAUAAACAAAUUUUCUCUUUAGUUAAUAAUUUAUCUUCUUAUUUCUAAAAAAUAUUUUCUAUUCACAAUAAAAAUUUAAUAUACAUUUUUUGUUAAAUUUAAUUUUAUUUCAUAAAUUUAAACCCGUACAUCGGGCGGAUCCUAAUCUAGUAUUAUAUAUUAUAGAAUAUAGUAUAUCUUGGAAUUGGGAUAUAUAUAUAUAUAUAUAUUGUUGGAAUAAGCUUGAAGAAAUAACUUGUGCGACAAGUUAUUUAUUAAAAGAAGAGAAAUGUUUAAGUCUUUAGGAUUUAUCUUGAAAUAUUGUUUAGGAGUUAUGUAAACAAUUGUUAGUUUGUAAGGUUUGAGAGAUUGAGAGAACUUGAGGGCUUAGUUUUGAGCAAGUUUCUAAAGCAUAAUAAGAAGAGAGUAAUUCUUAAUCCUUGAGUUCAUAUAUAAUCGUCUUAAACACUUGAUAUUUAUUCCAAGUUUUAUGUUUUGAACUUGAUUCAUGAUUUCAUGGUCUCCCUUCAAUAUUCUCAUUUGAAGUUCCAUGCAGAAGAAUUAUAUAUGCAUGGCAGAAUUAUGCGAGAACUUUACACUAUAUAUGAAGCAAGGUAUGGAAGAAUGAACAAAGAUCAAACAACCAACCGGCUGACAUCUUAGCACGAAGUGACAUUACAGAUAAUGCUUCUUUCUAUUAUCAUUACUACGUUCCUCAUAUAAUAUGUAAUGCUUUACAUUCAAACAAUGUAUCAAUUUACUACAAGAAAAAAUGAAUUUAGCGACUACACAAAACGUAACUAAAGAGUCGCUAAACCCAUAAUUACGACUGAUUGACGACUAAAACACGUUGUCGCUGAACACUGCGUCGCUAAAAUUAGUGGUAGGAAAACAGUCGCUAUUUAGCGACCAUUCCGCGACCACUGUUGGUCGUCGCUAGUCGAUCGCCAAACAGUCGCUAAUUUAGCUACUGGUUUGCGAUAAACAAGCCACUAAAUGGCGACUGGUUUGGCGACUGAAUUGGUGACUGAACUGCAGUCACUUUGCGACUGAUUAGAGGUUUAUUUAUCGUUUUAGCCUGCUAUUUUCGAUUCCAGUUACGCAUUUAUAAUCAAAACCAAACAUACAAAAAAUAACCUUGGAAUUAAAACAGAAAACAUAACAAACAUAAAAAUAAUACUUGUUCAAAACAAAACAUUAGUAGCAAGAGUACUUGUACCAUCACCACCAACAAACUUAACCAAAUAUCAAGUUCAAGUUUUUAAGUUGAGAGGAGAGAAAGCUAAGGGACAUUAGUAGCAGGAGUAGUAGCAGAAGUAGUAGGAGGGACCUCUGAAUGAUCAUCCGCAGGAGUUGAUUGAGACUUGAGGAAGGCCAAAAAAUUUGGGCCAGUUUCACUCAAGUACUUCUUCACCAUCGUCAAGUUUUUGAUCUCAGCUGUAACCCGCAAUGCCUCUGCUUCACGUUCUGCUUGUAGAGCUGCUUGUUCCUCUAUCUUGCGGUUAGCAUCCUCAAGCUGUGAUUGCAGGGUUGUGAAAGAAGAAGUGCUUCAUGGGUACUUACGCUUCCCGUUGAUGUAAACCCCUAAGCUUCCAACUCCAAAGUAUUCCCCUCUAUCAUUUGUGACAGUAGACGGCAUAACAAAAGAAAGAGUAUUAGUCCUUAACAUGAGAAAAAAACAACCAUAAAUAACCACAUAAUUACUUGAAGGAAGAUCUCAUCCUCCUCCUCUUGAGAUAGCUUAGAGCGACGUGAAGUACCAUCAGAUUGUUCAUCAUUCUCAUGAAGGGCAACCAACUUAGCUGCCUUGUUCUUAAGAUAUGCCUCACAGAUUUCAUGCGGCUUCCUAUCCACAAAUGUCCCAUCCUUCUUGGUAUGAGUCCUGAUGAACACUUCACCAAUAGUAGGCGGUUUUCCCAAUUCAACUUCCUCAAAUGUUGUAACAUAGAUGUCACAAUGUAACUAAACAAAACAAAUUUAAAACAGAUUUGUAACUUACCAUCUCUUGCUCUACUUGUAAGAAGGACUUCGGACCAAAUACAUGCUUGUGAGGACCAAGGCCAUUAUGGUCAGACAUUCUAGCUGCGGAUGUGGUUGAACUCUUUUCUAUGGCUUCUUCAGUGUCCCAAUAGUCACACAUCUCUUUCCACAGUUUUUUCUCAAUCUAAUACGGCUUCUCUCUUCUUGUCGCUGCCUUACUAACCAUGUCUUUCAUACGAAGUUGAAUGAUCUUAUAGAAUUUGGCUUCAACCACAAAUGAUCUUAUAAAAUUUGGCUUCAAUCACACAUGUUAGUGAGGGAUGCCAGGUGUGUUGUUUCUACAAAACAAGAGGAGAGUGAAGCAGAUUUUAGUGAUCAGAAAACCAAAACUGAAGUAUAAAUACAGUAGUAGAAGAGGGAUAGAAAUUUAAUGCAAAUUCGAGGAAGUCUCUUUCUCUUAUUCUAGUUUGCACACAGCUCCAACUGUAGUAUGAUCCAUCAAACUUGUUUGUAAAACACUUGGUGAUCUUCCGGGUCAGUUUACCAUUAUCCUAUCAGUGUUUUUUUAGUUUUCCUCGAAUAUUUGAGAAAGUUCUUUUUAGAAUUCGAAUCAGUCAUCAACCACACUGUCCAGCUUGCCAUCAAUACAAAAAUAUAUUAAAAAACUGGUCGUUACUAUAAAUAAUUAUUAUAUGUUUUGGAUAUUCUCAAUUUUUGAAUUUUAUGUUUAUCUGAGGUUAUUAAUCAGUUACCAACCAUUUAUUCUAUAUGUUAGACUUAUACGGAACUUGAAAUUGAUCACUAAGUAGAGUAAAGUUCAACAUGCCUCUUUGUUGGAAAAACGGCUUUUCAUACCUUAAUCUAAUAAGUAUGUUCAAUUCAUACAUUAACUAUACCUCUGUACAGAUACAUAUCUCAACUAAGAAAAAAUUCAAAUUUGCUAUAUGCCACCAUUUAUUUACUUCUUCUUCGUUUUUCCUCUCUACUGGAAUUACUAUUUGAGGAUUUUCCAAAGUCCAAGAUCCUUUAAUGGCGCCAUCAGCUUGUUCAUAUUAGCAUUUUAAUUUUCUUAAAGUUUCUAAAUUGUAGUUAGUUUAAUAGAUUUCGAACUUGAACAAUUGAAAUUCCAACUUGAACAAAUUCAUGAUGUAAUUGUAGAACUCUAGAUUUCUAUAAAUCUACAUAUUGUGAUUCCAGUAGAGAUAAAGAAGAAGGAGAAAUAAAUAAAUGUUGGAAACGUCGUUUUGUCUCAAAUUUUAGGUGUUUAAUUUGGUUAAGAUUUAAACGGUAUAGUUAAUGAUAUUAGCAUCUACGUAUGUUACAAUAGACAUAAUGUUAACCACAUCUCAGGAUAUGCAUGUUAUUGCACGAAACAAAAAGAUUAGGUAGUGAAUUUAAAUUUUUGCUUAGUUUGGGUAUGUAUCUGCACAAAAGUAUAGUUAAGGUAUGAAUUGAACAUACCUAUUGAGUUGAGGUAUGAAAAAGUCGUUCUUCCCCUCUUUGCCACUCUGAUUUUUGGCAGAGUAAUGAAGGAAAAAAAAAAGUAAUCUGGAAAUUAAAAAAUACAAUGAAUUAUACCAAUAUAACUUACAUUUUCUGAGGAUCUACGUCUUCGAGGAAACAAACACUCCCUCAAACCGGGCCUUGUGGCCUAGUGGUAAAGGGGUCACAGCUGUGACUUCCGCCACCGGGGUUCAAGGCACGGCCACUGGCAGGUUUACAUAGGGGAAUUGCCAGCCUCGUGGGAUUAGUCUUUGGGCCUAGGAAGCCUUUGGGAGACCCGCGGUUAUUCAAAAAAAAAACACUCCCUCAAGCUAUUGAUAUUCAUCAAAUUACAAGAGCUAACAAAGAAGCUUUGUUUAAUACCGAACUAUUUAAUACUUUUUUUAAUUAAUAAACUUGUAAAUAUCAUAUAGAAUGAAAUGUUUAGGCUUUACAAAAUAUAGACCUUAACCUUACUACUGUGGCAAAAAAAAGAAAUAAAAAAACAAGAGAGUUAAAGAACUCAUUCUAACCACAGUUGCAUUAAAUUAGAGAAUUUGUUGAGAUGUCUUCUAGCAGUAAUCGAGUUACGAACUACAUAAUUUAUUAGAAGACAAAAGUGCCAUUAAUCUACUUAAUGUAUUAAUCCUCUUAAUGGUCCAUAUUUUCUUGAAGUUCACUAACAACCCGUUUGCAAGUGACUCCCUCGUAAUCUACUUAAUGUAUUAAUCCUCUUAAUGGUCCAUAUUUUCUUGAAGUUCCAUUUGAGUAAAGCUUGAACCUCUCCACCAGCAAGAGUAUUGCCCACACAAGGGCUAUUUAACCCCAUGAUAUAAUCUGAAUUACGUAAUGAAAAUAAAAUAUGAAAAUUCAGUAACAAAAUUUAAAUAAUGAAUUAAAAAAUUACAUAUAAUAUUUAAAUGAUUAAAAUCGUACAAAAACGAUAUAUGGAACAAUAGAAAAGUACAUACAUAAUAAACAGAAAUCUAAAUUUACUAGUCUGGCAUCCGCAAGCUGAAGAAGAAUUUUUAAAUAACCUCGAAAUCUUUAGAUCGACUGUCAUCCUCCUCCUUCAUAUGCGUCAUCUUCUCAUUGCUUCACGGGAUCCUUCGUCGCUUGAAGCAAUUCUUGAGUCAUGGACAAGGUCGGCCCUGUCAUAAAGCAACUAAAGCACAAGCUUUAGGCCACUGAAUAUAAACUAAAUUUUAGGGCCACAUUUUUCUAAAUGUUAUAUUUGCUCAGUGGUUAUAUAGUCCAAAAGUUUAUUGUAGGUAUAGAAUUCGAAUCCCUUUGAAGUCACGGUUCCUUCUUUUUUGGGGUAAUAUUUCCAGCUUCUCUCUUUAAUUAUCUCUUUAUUCUUCUCUUCCCUCCAGUUUUUUUUAAUAGAUUUUAUUUGCUAAAGUGCUCAUGCUAAUCAUUUUCGUAAGAACAACAGAACUAAUUACUAUCGUCACUGUGAUAUUCAAUAUCAUAUAUAACUGUGAGAUUCAAUAUCUAUGUUUACGAAUCACGAACACGAAAAUGACAACAAUUACAUUUCUGUAUAUAUAUUUCUGAUUUAAUCUAUUAUUACUCGACUAUGAAAACCUAAUUAAUUACUGAAUUUGUUGAAGAAAAAAUUAGAAAAGUUUAUUUUUGUGAACGGAAAUAAAUUAGAUUGUCUUACGUUGUUAAUAUAUUUAAUGUUUUUUUUCAUCAACUAUAUCUGAUGAUUUACAAAAAAAAAUUAUAGUGUUUUAAUGUUAAUUUUUUAAUCAUUAGUAUAUAAGAAGUCCACAUAGUUUAAGCAUGCUUUAGGCCACAUAAUGUCAAGGACCGGCCCUGGUCAUGGAGCUUGCUGGAGUAAACGAGAAUGAUGUUACACAGCCCUCUGGAAUGAAGUCUAAGCCGUGUCGACGUCCUUCUUCUUUACAAAAACAUUCUAAUAUUGAAAACUAAUAAUUAAAACUAGUUACUUACAGAGAUAGAGAAAAUGUACUUACUGAUUGGUAGAGCUUCUCCAUAUCAGUUUUUGACACCUCCCUGGACUAGAUGGAGAAUGCAUGCGCCGCGCCCUUAGAGAGGAAAACCUAAGAUAACUGCUUGCCAACCUUCUUCUUGACAACCUCGAAGAUGGUCUACUAAAUCUUCUUGUCGAAGAUAGUACUAUUGGAAUUACCUCCUUAAAGUUACCUCUAUAAGGGUUUUAUGAGGAAAAAGUUCUCCAAAUUCAAACAAUUUUGGAUUGAUGUAUGUUUGGAGAUCUCUAUAUAUACCGCCUUCAUUGAUGUUGAAGCCAUUUGCUUUUCGUGAUGUGAUAUGUUCUUGUCUAAUGGGCCAAGUGUGUGGUUCAAAUUUUGUCACCCAUCUAAAAAGAAUGCACUCCUUGAUAAACAAAGCAAGCUAUGUAAGGAUAUAAUAGUACUCUGAUCGAUGAGCUCCUUUUCAUAAUUAUCGUAGAGUGACGGUAGAUUUAUCUCUUCGGACAAGUUUAUUUGGUUAAGGCCACAUUUCCAUCCUAACUUGUUUUUGGAGUUUAAUUUUUUUUUCGAAUAUUCCUUUUUGUUUUCAGUUUUAUAUUUGUAAAUUAAAGUUUCAUAAAAGAAAAAAGAUAAACACACAAUAUUAGUGGUUUUGUGUGGAUCAUCUACUCCGUUUUAGGAGUGUUAGAGCAUCUCCAACCCACAUCUAUAUUUAUCUCUAAAAUAGAGAUUUCUAUUUUUUUCUCUAUAUAUAGAGGUGGGAAUAGAGAAUCUCUAUUUUUUUCUCUAUAAAUAGAGUUAAAUUUUUUAGAGGAAAAAAUAGAGGAACACAUUGGAGUAAAAAUAGAGAAAAUUUAUCUCUAUUAUAGAAAUAGAGCUAAAAAUAGGGAAAUACAUUGGAGAUGGUCUUAACCAUCUUUUAUGAAUUAACUAGGUCCGGACCCGCACAUACGUGCGGGGUUUUAUAUUUUGAAAGAUGCGGGUUGAAUAUUUUUUGUAUAACGUAUAGUGAAAACGGGUCUAACAUUUAGUGUUGGAAAACGUAUGUAUGGGGUUUUUUGUUUGAUUGGUUAAAAAGAUUGGAAAGAAUAAUUAGUAAGAAUUUAGUAAUUUUGAUUGGUGAAUGAUUGGAUAUCUUGGUUUGGUUUUGUUGAAUUAUUGAGAAAGUUGCAAAAUUGGUUGUAAUAUUUGUGAAACGAAAUUAUUAUUCUGAGUUUUAUUGUAUAUUUUUAUUUCUUAAACUAAAAAAUGAUUUGUUUGGUGAAAUAAAAUUAUUGUUUGUAAUUUGAUGCAUAUUUCAUAAAUAUAAAUGAUUAUAAUUCAGAUAAAGGCCCGUUAAUGAUUCCCCUUUUAAUUAGGAUUGGGCUGGAUUUUUGAUAGACCCAUUUAGAGAUCCAUGGUUUCGUUUUUGUUUUUUAAUACAGAAUCAAAUGUUUUUUUUUUCUUUUGGACAGAAGUGAUUAUAGCACGAUUCUUUGUCUUAUGGUCUUCAAAGAAUGAAUCCCUAAAAAUCAGAAGCUUUUCCGAUUUCUCAAUCAAUGUCAAAAGUUUCGAUCAUCAAUCGAGUCUCUGUACAUAUAAUUUCCAUAUCAGAUUCGGAAUUUCUCCAAAGAGGUAAGGUUUUUAGAGAUUCUUCUUCAAUCAAUCUAUUUUUAUAAUCUGUUGAUUCAUUUACAAUCUUUGUAAUUCUGUGUUUCAACAGAGAUCUUGGGCUAUUACUGUGGGUAUACGAACUUGCAUGAGUAAGUAUUUUCAAUUAUAUUUGUUGUUUAGAUCCGUAAUUGCAUGUCUAUAAUUUUUGUGUUUAUUCGGGUAACUCUAUCUAUUAUCAAAAUCUUCUAUGCGUUGGAGUGAAAAGAGGCUAUAAUUUGAUUUUGUAUAGAUUUAGGCAAUAGAUUUUGUUUCCUAAUAUUUAAUUUGUUCCUAAAUUGAUUUUAGAUAAUGAUUGGAUGAUGAUUUUGUCUGAGGAAGACGAUUUACAAAGUUAAGCUUUCUAUUACAGCUCUUACAUAACAAAACAAUGUCUUAAUAUAUAUGGUUCUGAUUUUACCAAAUACAAUGUUUACAGAGAAGGCAAAAUAUUCGAGUUGAUUUCAAUCUGAGAAGACAAAUUUGAUGUCCUUUAGUAGCCAUAACGGAAUCUGGAAGCUAUUUUAAAGGUUAGAUUAUGUAAUCUCUUUCUGAAAUUGUAGAGUUGUUAUAUAAAACAUAUAGUUGUCAAUCUAUACUUUUAAAUAUUGAUAUUGCGUAGCUUAACAAUUAUGAGUACAAUAUAGUUUUUAGAAAACUUACUUAAAUUUAGGGAAUAUACUAAUUAAACUUUUUAUGGAAAACAGAGUAAAAUAGAGAUUAAAUACAAAAGAAACAAAUAGGGUAGGUUUAAGUCGAUUACAAAAGGAGUUUUCCAUACCUCCAAGGAAGUUUUUAAAAAGACAGAGUUCAUCUCCUCUAAAAAUGUAAAAAGAAACAACAUAAACUAAGAGAAACUGAAGUAACCUUGCAAAUCCAAUCCCUCCUUCCUUCACAUGUUAGUUCUCAUCAACCAUCUCCAUCAUCACAUCCUCUUCGUCACUUGAUCCAUCGUCGAAUGAUCGCCUGCAAAAAAACAUAUGCUUUAUGUUUACCUAGGCUAUGAAUCUCAACCAAAAUAUAAGCCAAUUAUAAGAGAAUUUUUAACUUACAGAUAACUUGGAAUGUCAAGUUCAUAAAAGAUUGGAUCAAUGUAUAGACGUGAACAGCCAUAUUCACUCAUUAAAACAUUGUUUCCUAUAGGAAAAAAAAAGAUUCAGUCAAUGUAACUAAUAAAAUUGUAAAGUCAGUUCAUAAAACUAUAAUAAGAACCAACCACAGUAAGAAGUUAUUCUCCAGAAACGCAAGACUGCAACAAUCUUAUCAUAGUUGUAGUUUAUUCCGCUUAUUUUCUGAGACCAAGUGUUCACAAAGAACUCACACCACUUUCCCACAGCUACGCAUUUUAUUGUCUCCCCCCUAGAUUAAAAGUUUAAUUUCCAAACAAAAGAACAGUCAAUCCAAUUUCUUAAAGUAAUUUAAGAACAACCAUUGAAAUUCUGUUAUAGAGGGUAAACUAAACUUACACAUUAUUUUUAAUUUUGAAGCAGACAUAGCGAGAUUCAUAGUCUGUUUCUCCUCUGCGACACACAUAUGGAAACCUUCCUAUGGUGGAAACAGCAGAGAUAACUCCCAUAGCAUCUAAGUAAAAAUUAAAGGAAAAUGGUCAUAUAAGUCUUCAUAUAUAAUAAAUCUUGGUAUAAAACAUUUAAUUUCACAAAUUAUUACCAAAGACAGAGUUUUUAUCAUCUUCAUGAGCAUUUCUGACAGUAUCAGGCCAAACAAAGUUCCAGUAAUUGUUCCAAGACUUAGAUCUAACAGGCCACAUGGUAGUUCCACUCAAAAACUUAACCUGAAGUGGCAUAGUUGAAUAUCUGACUUGGUUUUUAGGUAUGAUGACUUGAAAGUCAGUCAUGUAGUACCAAACGUCUUGUUUGAGUCCUCGCUGAAAGUUCCAGAGGUAGUAACCUUGUGGAAUUGUUGCGUCCAUUAAAUUCCCCUAUACAAAGGAAAGAAACAAAUUAGAUAAGUAGUUUUUCAACCCUAGAACAUGAUUUUAAAAAGGUGUAAAACAGAACAAUAGAAUUAGAAACAAACCUUCUCAUCUGCGAGAAUCAUUGUAGUUAGAUCACCAUUGAAAGGAGGAUUAUGAUGCCAGAUACUCAUUAUCUUAACACAAACCCUCCACUUUGUGGAAUGUCUUCGCAAAUCAGAGAGAAGGUGCAUUUUCUCCAUAGUUUCUAAAAGAUUUUGUUUUGCUUUCAACUGGGAAGAUAUCUCUGUAAAUCUAAAAUCUCUCAACGCAUAUAUAUAGAUAUAGAUAUAUUGGUUAAGAGACGCAAAGGAUUAAAAUAAAAAGAAAAGGAAACUGAAUCGUUAAUAGAAUAUAUAAAAUAUAAAAAUUUGAAAAGACUGAUGCAAAUCAUUGCUAAUUAUUACAAAAGGAUACAGUUUACAUUUUUCAAGAUACACCCAACGAUUUAGAUUUGCCUAGAUUGUAUAAACCGUCAAAUAUGGAAGUUUCUUUAGUUUUUGUUAUUCAUGAUAGAUUUUUUAUAUAAUAGAUUAUAUAUAAGUAAAAUAUAUAAGUAAAUAUGUACUUAAAUAAUAGUAUCGAUUUUUUGUAACAGGAUCUAGAUUUGCCUAGAUUGUAUAAACCGUCAAAUAUGGAAGUUUCUUUAGUUUUUGUUAUUCAUGAUAGAUUUUUUAUAUAAUAGAUUAUAUAUAAGUAAAAUAUAUAAGUAAAUAUGUACUUAAAUAAUAGUAUCGAUUUUUUGUAACAGGAUCUAGUUUUUGCUAUUUGUUAGUUACAAUUAUAAUGGUACUGAUGCUAGAUAAUUCUAUGUUUACAGACCAGGCAACAUCUUUAAAGAAGGCAAAUGUGAAAGCAAUGAUAAAGCUAGUCCAGCUUCUGAAAGCACUGAUAAAGGUUAGUGAGGUCUAAAUGAUUCAAGAAGUAUUUAGAUCCACAAUUAAAUAUGAAGUUGUCGUGAUGUGUUAAUUGUUUUUCGAAAAUGAUUUUACUAUAUUCUCUGUUGACAUGUAUGUUAAAUUCUGCAAUUGGUUGAUAAGAUAUUAAAGUAAUACUACUUGUUUAUAUGAAUUAACAGAAUAUUUAGAUUCUGUAUAUGUUUUUGGAAUUAGUAAACUUUUAAUAGUUUACCUUUUUGUACUUAAUAUGAUUUAAAUGUAAAUGAAAAAUUAUUUAAAACAAAGUUAUGCUGAUAUUAAUAAUCAAAAUUUCUGAAUCUAUAUUAUUAAAAGAGAAUUGAGAGAAUAACAGACCAAGUUUGGUAAAAUAAUCUCUUCAAUGGAAGUCGUAGAUUGAAGAGAUUACUACCAAAUUUCCAUUUCCAUACCAGCUUCUACCUGUUCAGACAACCAAUAAGAAAUUAGUAAAGUGUAACAGGUGAAAAUAAUAAUCAGUUUUUAUUGAUUGUUACCUCUUAAACCAAAUGUCUUUUGCAAUGUGUAAGCUUAUAGGUUCUGAAAGACUUCCUUAAACACCACAUUCAACGUUUCCUUGUGCGGCUUUCCUUCUUUGUCCACUAUGAGUAUCUUCAGUCCUUUUUUUGAAGUUACCCUUGAGAUAGCUACAUAGAGUUGGCCAUGAGAAAAGCAUGGCCUUGGUAGAUAGAUGCCAACCUUAUUCAACGAUUGUCCCUGGCUUUUAUUAAUGGUCAUAGCAAAAGCAACUGCUAUUGGAAGUUGUCUUCGACGCAUUUUAAACGGAAGUUUAGUAUCAGAUGGAGAUAUCAAUAUCCUGGGAAGGAGGACUUUAUCUCCGACUCUAUCACCUGUAAUAAUGACAGCCUCAAUGACUUUAUCACCCAUUUGUGUUAUUUGCAGUCUAGUGCCAUUCAUUAGCCCUCCUCUUGGAUCUAAAUUUCGUAGUAACAUCACAGGACAACCAACUUUCAACCUUAUACCAUGAUUUGGCAAUCCAGAUAUCUUUAGACCGUUCAAAAACUCUGAUGUCAACACGGGAUUAUUUGUACCUCCAAUAUCAGAAGGAUCAACAGAAUCUGAACUUAGGUAUAGUUGUUCAUCACCUACAAAUAAUUUAAAAUGUCUUUAUAAUACAUCAUAUCUCAAUGAAAUGCCUAAAAUAUUAAGAGUAGUGGAGACUAACCUUCGAGUUGAUCAAGCAUAUAAUCGUUGACAAUACCCACAUCUUCAUUGGUAGGACAUAAAAUAGCCCUUUGUUGGAAAAAUACAGGAUCGGUUUCAUCCUUCAAUAACUUAGGAUCUCCAUAAACUUCCCUGCUUAUUGCCUCAAUUGGAUUAUCAGCGUUUGUGAUCAAAAACUCUUUUGGAAUUUCUAUCAUCACUUCUCCAUCAUUAGGCUGUGCUAUCUUACCAUCACCAACUGCUAGAAUCCACUCUGAAAAUUCUUUUAUAUCCUUAGCCUCACUUGGACUCAAAUCCUUUGAAAGUAGCCUCAUAUUUUUCGUGAGUUUCAGAACUUUGCAAUGAUUCCAAAGAUAAGAAGCAUUAAGUGCAGCCAUACAAAUUUCUGCUCUCGAAGCACCAUGUAUCACAGGUAGUACUUGUCUGAAAUCUCCACCAAAAACAACUACUUUGCCACCAAACGGUUUGUUUCCACCACCUUUAAUAAUGUCUUUGAAACUCCUAUCCAUAGAUUCAAAACAAUGCUUACUCAUCAUUGGAGCUUCAUCCCAAAUUAUCAAAGACGCUUCUUCUAUUAAUUCUGCCUGAUUUGAACCUUUCUCAAUAUUACAUACAGUGAAGUCGUCUGGAUUUAUUGGAAUACCAAACCGAGAGUGCGCUGUUCUCCCACCAGGUAACAAUAGAGAAGCAAUGCCGCUGGAAGCCACAUUUAGCACAAUAGAACCUCUAGAUCUUACAGAAGCUGAGAGUGUCGUAUAUAUAAAAGUUUUACCAGUUCCACCAAAGCCAUAGACAAAGAAGACACCUCCCUUGUCAUUAUCAACAGCAUCGAUGAUCUCUAAAUAAACACUCUUCUGCUCAUCUGUCAUUUUCUGCAACGAUUCUUCAAGUUUUUCCUUCUGUUCAUUGCUAUCGUAGCUUUUUUCAUCAAGUAUCAAGACAUUACUAUCAUCAAUUUCCUCAUCAGGUAACUGUGGCAUUGUUCUGAAAGCUGUUAGAGAUGUUCCAUUGCUUCGUAAGAUGCUGUUGAUUUCUUUUAAAGCCAACAUCUGUUUUUGCUCGUCCGUAAGUGUUAGUUCUGUGUCCCAAAAAUAUGUAAAAAAACAGUGUUAUUUGUAAGACAGAAUAAUCAUGACAAAAACUACUUAAAAUUGCAAAGUAACAACUCUUUAAACCAACCAAAGAGACUAAAUUAUUUGAUCAAAAAUUACCUGGUCUUUUAAAGUACUCUCUCCUUUUUCUUUCGAUGUCUUCUGAUAGAAGUUCCCAUGUUUUUUCCCAAACAACUUCUGGUUGAGAUAAGCUGGUAGACUGGAGCAUUACAACAAACAUACAACGCAAGUAGUUUCCAGUAGCCCAAAAACUGGUUGUCUUUAUUGUAUCAAUAUACUCCUGGUCAUCGUCAAGCAAACCCAGAGCAUAACAUGCCUCCUUGAACGAUUUGUACACCACGCCAUUCACUGUUUUGAUGUCUUCGAAACUUUCAGGUCCAGUUUGAUGAUUUAGAAGCACUCUUAAAUAAUAACCUUCCUCAUAAAUAAGUGGGACAUAAUUAAUCCUUCCGAUUGUUUUCCCUGGUCGCUUCCUCAUAUUGAAAGUUCUUGUUUUACCAUCCCAAGUAUAAUAUUCCGGAAUCUGAGUAUAUGUUAGAUCUUUGGCUUUAGGACACCGCUUGUUCAAUUCAAACCAAGCAAGAAACAUCGAAUUCUGUAAUUCUGAUUUUUUCAAAACUGUUUUCACCUCAUCAUCACCUUUAAAAUAUAAUAGUUGUUUGCCUGGUAGAUGGAAGGAUAAUCUUUGAACAGACGUUGACCUAUAAUGUAUAGGAUUUUUCAAGAUUCUCCAUCCAGCUUCACAUGCUGAUACAUAUCUGAUACAAUAUCAUAAAACAUGUAUUAGUUAGAAAUGAGUUAAGCAUCUAAACUAUUUACCUAAAUCCAAGUAGAUUUUAUACCUGCAAUUAAAGAAGUCUUGUAUUUCAUUUUUACUUGUGCCCCCACUGUUUGAACUAUCAGACUUCUCUGUAGUAGUUGUAGUCUUUGUAGACUUUUCAUUAGGCUCAACAACUACUGAAACUCUGUCCAUCCCUUUAGUGAUAUACUUGAAUAAAUACUUGAUAGAGCCAGUUUGGUUACACCACUCAACAUUAAUAUGAGCUCUGUAGCGAAGCAGCAACUUCUUGUUAUAGGGUAUAACAUAUCCGUUGUCACACCUAAAUCCACACUUCUCCACAAACAGCUUUGUCUUUCUUCUUCUGUACAAAGGGAAACCUUCUUUAUCAACUUUAGUAUGUUCUCUAAGUUUUUUUGGGAAAAACUUAGAACAUUUCCCUUCAAGCAUACAUGGUGAAUUCUGGUUGACGACGCCACAUGGUCCAUGAAUCAUCAUGUCUUUUACGACCUCAUAAAGUUCUGGUUCUUUAGUCUUGUCAGGAAUUUCCGCAGAAAUGAUUUUAUCAAUGUCUUCUGGUUUUGGAAACUUAGAACUUGGAUGCAUCCAUAUCAAUAUAUGUGCAUGAGGAAGACCUCUUUUCUGGAACUCAAUUGUAUACAUUGCUGCGAGAACAACAUGAGAUAAUAAUAUUAGUUAAACGACAUUUAGAAAAAUAGCAGAAACAGAUAAUUAAAUUAUAGACUGUUAACGCAACUAUUAAAAUAAAUCACUUACAUGAAACAGUCUUCCCCAAUAUAUGUUUCUUCGUUAAAUCAUCCAUUAGAGAAUUCAGCUUCAUUUUGAACAUUCUGCUUAUGAUCUCUGGCCUAUCAUCGGAAUUACAAUUUCUAUCAGUACAAAAGCUUACCAGCUCAGUCCAUUUUGGAUUGCAUGUGAACGUAAUGAAUAGGUCAGGAAAUCCAUAAUGAUUACAUGUAGACAUUGCAUCCAUGUACAUGUUCUUCAUGUAUCUUGGCCCACCAACAAAAGUAGCUGGUAGAUAAAAUGCUUUUCCUUCUUCAUUCAUAUCUGUCUUUCCUGCUGUUGCCGCCUCUUUAACUGAAUCAUAGUUAGUAGCUCGUAAACUUGACUGAUUCAGUUUAAUAUAUUUGAGCCUAUUAGCUUCAAUGGUGGUAUAAGCAUCAACCAAGAACUGCUGGUACAACCGUUUGGACCUUAGCAGGAUACUUUGUUCAUUCUUUCUCUCUUGUAUACGAUACGCAUACCAUUGACGCAAACUUAUGCAAUCAUUCUCCUCAGUUCCUUCGGGCUUGUUUUUCUUUUUACCAUGGUUAUUCCCUUUCUGAAUACCUGUCCUAUAACCAUCUUCACCCUUUGGAAACAAUAGAGGGUAUUGUAGAGCAAGAUAACAUGGUUCUAUUUCACUGAUUCUUUGUAAAUACCCAGAUUUUUCUUCAAUAAUAAUGUCACGACUUGGCAUACCAAUGUGAAAAUCACCUGGAAUCAGCGCUGCGACCUCCGAAGCUGUUGGCACUGCAUAUGUUCUUCCAUCUUUGACACGGUCACUCACUAUUUUCAUAUGAAAGCUCUGUUCAGGAUUGGUAUUAAACCUAUCACGAGCUUGUCUAAAAUGAGCAACGUAUGGAUUAACUUCAUUUAGCAGCUUUAUUAUCGCCUCAAUUAUUUCUUUUCUCAACUCUGACUUCUUCUUAUAUUUCCCAGCAGAUUUUCCUUUGCUGAAAUAUUAAUUUAGUUAGCAACGACACUAAUACUUACAGAAAAAAACACAAAGUCUGGAUACUGUGAUGGCUUGUUUUGAGUUAGAAAAUGUACCUUAAAAUUCCUGCUCUGUUUUCAACUUCAUUCUCUGUGUCAACUAUAUAUAGCUGACUAAACUUAGGAAAUUCACCUUCUCCAGGUUUCAAACUUCCCAUCUGGUGGUAAUUCUCUCCUUGUAUCUGAAACAUAUUAGGACCCCUUCCCGCUGUAACAGAAUUAUCACACUUACCCCCAAGAGAAGUAAAUGAAAAAAUCAUGUUAUAUGCUCGGAUGUUCUCUCUAAAGUGUCUACUCAUGUCAUCAUCAUUGGUUAGCAAAGCAAAUAACAGUUCUGGUUGAUUAUGGAGGAAAGGCAGUUUCACAGAUCCUUGCAGACAACAUUGAGUAAAAAUUGGUUUACGAACUUUCUUAUGUCUGUUGAUGCGUUCGCCAUACCACAUAAUAGCACCGCAGUAGGAACAUGAGUAGACAGGAUCUCCAUGAUCUAGAUACUCUACAAUAACGGGAAUAAGUUUAGCAUAAGUAAAGUUUGUGUAAGAAAAGAAUUAGAAAUAAACCAAUGAUGUAGUACCUGUGUUUUUGUUCUUUCUGAUAGAAACAUUAGGAGUUUUUAUUUCUCCAAAAGCUUUGGUCAAACUUUCAUCUAACAUUGAUAAAAACUCAUAUCUUUGUUUGACUUCGAUUGGGAUAUCGUCUAUGGUUUCAUAAUCUUCAGAUGUUUCUGAAUCAUUUUCAUCGAUGGUACUCACUAUUUAAUUGAAACACGAUCCAGCCCUUUAGUGAUAAACUUGAAUAACUUUUUGAUAGAUUGAUUUUGGUUGCACCUACUAACAUUACCUGAUCAAUAGAGAGGUCAUUACGUUGGUCAGUCUGCUGGUCAGAAUCUUCAAUAGUAUCUAGAUUGUCAGAUUCAUUACCCAGCCAAACGGUUGAAACCUUGUAGGUAUCAUCAGUUUCAUUGAUGUUUUCCUUUCCAACAGUCACCAGAAACUGGAAAGUCUUUCCAACCAAAUCUCUGAUUGGCUGAGGCAAGUUUGUAGGAUCCUGAAUCUGUUAUGAUAGAUUGAAAAAAGUAUAUAAGAUAUUUGAAUAAUAUGGUCUAUAUACAUAUUAACAAUAAAUUUGUUUACCUCAUCCCACUUCCCUUCCAGCAAAUCCUCUGCAGACACACCGAUUAUCUCUUGUGCACUUUUAUCAAAGAUAAGACAUUUAGUGUCUCCAGUGCUAUCCAUCACUCCAACGUUUAAAAGAUACCUACAUAUCAAAGGAACAGGAAAGUAGAUUAUGUACCUAGUUAUUAUCUGACAAAUGUAGAUAUAUAUUAGCAAAUCUCAAAGUCUUACCUUGGUAUCACCUUAGGAGUGUCUUCCUUACAUGUUGGACACCAAAACAUUUCUUUCUUGCCUUUCUUGACAAUCUCAUUUUCAACCUUUGGAAUCUUAUAGGCAGUUUUGCUACACUUGAGGCAACUAAAGAAAUACCAAGAAUAGUCUGUGUCGAUAUUCAUUAUGGUACAAAUUAUGUUGCACUUUCCAGUCUAUUACAAAAAAAUAGAUAAUUAGUAGUAUAGACAGAGAAUUUAAUAGUUUCUAGAAAAAAUAAUAUUAUCCAAUACAAAUACCUCAGCAAAACAAAAGAGUCCAGAGAUGGUUUUCCUUGGAAAACGAUCAUAGUAAUCCUUUUUUCUCUGUUCUGCAUUCACUUGUUUUGCCUUCGAGUCUUCGAUAGUCAGUGGAAUAACAUCCGGUGGUAAACUAUUUUUAACAAAUAAAAGAACACGAAAUCAACUUUAGAUAUUAUAAAAAGGAUUAACAGUUAUCUAUAUUAGUAAAAGAAAUGUGAUGUUUAAACAUAUCUUACUUGGCCACAAAAUCAAGAACAGCAGGGUAGGUAGCAUUGAUUUCCAAUAGAGACAUAUCAAAUGAAUUUGAAACAGCUCUUUCACCUACAAACAGCAUGAUAUUAGUAUUUUCACAUAUGUUCUGAUUUCAUUUCGAUUUCAAAAUCAUCCAUUAUUCCCAGUAACAACAUUCUAUACCUUUAAAUGAGUUGAUCUUUGCAAGCCGAAGUAAGCAUAUCACUCUCUCAGUCCCUGCAUUUUGACAUGCAUUAUACAUUGCCUCAGCAAAUCUCCCCCAAAGAGUGCAUUUCAGCCUUUCAUCACUACAAUACAACAAAAAUAUUGAGAAAGUUUUAAGUUUAGAUGUAUGUAAGAUUAAAUAAAAAAGGUAGAUUCAUGAUAAAACUUACUUUGUGUCUCUGAGUUCACACUCAAGUCUCUUUGUGAUCUUGUUAUUAACAUCAUGAAUUUUCAUUUCAUUGAAACUAACUACCUGUCCAAGUACAUCUGCAAAAUAAGAGAGUAAUAUAUUAUAUUUUCAUGAAGAAGUUCCUAUUAUAAUAGAAAAAGAAAAUAUACAAUGGAAAGUAAGAUAGAUAUAGUACCAAUUAAGAUGUUUUCACUCAAUCCUGCUUCAUUCAAAAUAUCUGGAAAGUUUGCCAGAUCCACAUAAAUGUCAUCAGAAACAGAAGGAGUGCGACUUAUCACAGUUUUUUCCAUCAUGGACAUUUUGAAACCAUGUUUUGUGGCUCGAUACUUUCCUGUUGAUUUGGUUAGCGUAAAAUGCUCGAUAAUACGCCAUUCUCCAGAAACUAUGAACCUUUGCAGUUUGCUCACUUGUGGCUUCUUAACAGUAGCAUGAAUCAAAGUACCCUGGCAACAGAUAAAAAGAACUCAUGUUAAUCAUCCAGUGAUAUUGAUGAUUGAUAAAUGUUUAAUAUGUUUCAAAAUGAUAGUUCUUAUACUUACAGCUGUAUCAGCAAGAACCAUUUCAACUGUCUCCCCGGUGAAUUGAGUGUAUUGUGUCCACGAAUGCACAAUCUUAACUUGAAUUUUCCAAUGUGUUUUGAAGGGCUUAAUGUCAGCAAGAGGGGUGAAUGCUUGAAUAGCUGCCAUUUUAUUAGAGAAAUAGUGAAGUGGUAAUGGUAAAGCUUUGAAAGGUGAGUUCUUUCUAAUGCAGGUCCCUAUAUUUAUAGUAAUCAUAUGGAGCAUUUAGUUUUAUUAGGUUUUAGAGAAUAUAGGCCGUAUAAUAUAUUUUGGGAUUAGGAUCUUAAAGAUAUAUGCUUGAUUUAGGGAGAUUUAUUUGUUUGGUAUAUCAAUAUCGAACUGAAUAUGGAUAUUGUAGAGAUUGUGUGAGUUUGAAUACCAACUACUAAGGGAAAUAUAAUAAGUUAGAAUUAUAUAUCUUUCAAUAUAGAGAAAUUUGAAUGAUUGAGUUUUGCAUGUAAAGAAAUUUUUUAAAAUUGGCAUUGAUAGUUUGUGUUGAUAUGGAAAGAUCUUUGCGAGAUUUGGGCGAUAAUUAUCGAAUAGGUUACAAUAUUGUAUCUUUCCUAUUAAUAUAGGGUAAUAGGAAUUAAUAAGUUUUGCAUUUAAUUUGCCGUCUAAAUAUAUAUUUUUACAUUGGAAUGAACUGUUUCCGGUGAUAUGGUAAGAUUUUUGCGAGAUUUGAGUGUAAUUAAUCAAAAAAUUAAUUGCUAACUUAUUCCCGAUUUAGAAUAAGUAAAGAAUAUGCUUGAUUUGUUAUUAUAUGGAAUAGAAAUAAAUACGUUUUAUUUUAGGAAGUGUAAAUUAUGAGAUUUGUUUGUUAAAGCAAUAUACAGAGUAGUUGAUUGAUCCGGAAAAAUAGUUAUGGUAUUGUUUGAUUUGUGUUGCUAAUGUUUUUAUUUCGUAUUAUCUAUACAGAUUCGGAAAUUUGAAGUAAAAGGGAUUAACGAUGGGCCUGUAGGAAAUAUCUAAGCCCAAUAGGAAAUAUAGAAUCUCAUCGGGUCAGAUUCACAGACGCAAAAGAUCCGAGUGUAGGAUCCGGGAUCCGCGUCUCGCGUGCGGGAAUUUUACAAUUUUACCCCUCCACGCAAAUUUUUAUUUUGUCUUUGAAAUUUUAAUUGUAAUGGCAUUCUCUUGUAAUUAUUUACACUUGGUAAGGUUAUUUUUCAUGUAAUCCUUCCCAAUUAAUAGUAUAGAUAAUUAUGACUUGUGUGAAAUGAUUGUACGGUUUGAUAUAAGUUAAUGUUUUAGUUUAAUAGUUGAAUUAGUCAAACUAACUAUUAGAGGCAACGUACUAUGUACACGCAACAGUAAAUAAACAAGAAAAAUACCUUUUUCGUCAAAAUUUUAAAAAAUAGUUUAAAUCAUAUUGUUGACUCUAAAUUAAUUUUACACCAAUAAAUUGCAUGGAUUGAUAAUUUCUUAAUAAAUAAGAUAUGACUUUAAUUUCUUAUAAGCGAGAGGUUGCCAUUCAAACUUACCUUCAUUUGUUAAAUAUAGACUUGGCAAUAAAAAAUUGCAUGAACAGAAAAAUCCUCCAAUAUUAUUGCGAGGAAGAAAAUGACGUCUCUAUGACUCUAUAUAUGUACAUAUAUGGUACGUUAGACUAGGUACACAUGCAGCUUGAUAGAGAAGACGAAGAAGAAUGGGUUCGAAAAUAUUGAGUAUUGGUCUUAUUCUAUCUCUGUUUCUUCUUUGCUUCUCAUCUGAAAUUGGAGUCAUUGAGGCUACUAGCCGAAAAUUAGGUGAGUAAUUGAUUUCUAAAUCUUCUUUUAAUAUUAUCUUAGCUUCAUUUAUGUAUACACUUGUAAAGUUUGUGUUCAAACUUAAUAUAGAGAAAGCAAAAAUUGGCACUCCACCAUCUAAAACAUGCCGAGGUAAAACACGAGGAGGAGGAUCAUCUUCUCGAGGGUGGAGGAAGAGACCGUGUCCACGUCUUGCUUGAACAUCCACAAUAAACCCUUGAAUAAGAAGAAAAAAAAAAGAUCACUCGUUCAUGUUACGUUACCAGUGAAACUGUUGUGCACCUGCAGUGACUUUGAGUUAUCUCACACUGUUGUCCAUUUAUAUAUAUAGACCAAAUAUUCAUACAAUAAAUCUUCAAACUUUGAGUUAAAAUUAAACGAAAGAUACAGAUUUUUGUUUUGUUGUUUAUGUUGAACAAAAAUUAAAUGAAUGAUAAAUUAAAAAAAUAAAAUAAAAUAAAAAAUGUAACAAUGAAUAAAAGCAUUAGACACCAAAAAAUCUCGAGGUUAUCAUAAAUUGUCUAAAGCGGAUAAACUAUAUAGAAAAUUUUUCGAAUAAUCGAUCUAGAACUCUAACCACUAAAUAUGAUUGAGUAACUAUAAUUAAUGAUAUCAACGACGAGAUCUAAAAAUCAAGAAACUUAACCAUUGUACGUUUUAGUUCUAAGAGAUAAUCUACAUAAUUGUUCGAGUUAAUAUGUUGGGAUGACGAUGUAUUUCCCCCCCAUAACUUUCGUAUAGCACCACUUCCACCCAAAGUUUCACUCUCUCUCUCUUUCUCCCCAGAAUCAAAGUUCAAAAAUUAUUUCUCCCCAAAUCUAAAAUUCGAUACAUAUCUUCACAUAAUGGUUGGUUUACUGGGUUGACGACGUAAACCCGAUACGAAACCAAAAAACCCAUAGGCCAAACCGAAUUGAAAACCAGAAUCGAGUUAAUACCCGACCCGUAACCCGUGAUAUCAACAAUUGUUCAUAAAUCCCCAAAUUGAGAAAUCACAGAACCCUAAAAAAGCUUUGAAUUCAAAUCACCACAUCAAAGCUCCGAUAUCAAAUCAUCACAUCGAAGCUCUGAUUUCUUGCAUCACAUUGAAGAUUUCAAAGUAAUUUCAAUGACGCCUUGAUACACUUACGUAUUAACCGUCUUCCUCCUCGUUUGAAGUCAAAUCAUUAGGUGUCACAAGCGAAGACAAUAAAGGAAGAGAAGAAUCUCCCAAAAUGUAACGAGGAACCAAUACUCCAUUCCCAAGUUUGGUCGGAGCUCCAUUGAGAAUUAAACCCGAAUCUGUGAACAAGAGACUUGUAAAAAGCAUCGUGAGCGAGACAGAACAUUGUGACCAAGUUUGAAGAAAUGGAUGAUUGUUGUUAUUCUAUGUUGUAAGAUCUUGAUUGGUUAAAAAAAUGCUUGGUUGAUUCGAUUGUGAUCUAAUGAUGUUACUGAAAAAAAUGCAUUCAACAGAAAGAAAAAAAAAGAGAAAAUGGAAGUUAAAAUUGCAUUCAAUAUGCAUAUUUUGUCUCAGACCAAUAACAUAACAAAAAAUAGUUGAGAAGAAUGAAAAAUAGACCCUUAAAACAGACCAAAAGCUUUUACAAAAAAAUAGACCAAAAGCUUCUUCUACCCUCCCUCCAAGCUCAGUUCAAGCUCAUUUCCUGCGUGACAGUUCCUUGAGAAGGUUCACCUUGAGGAACCUGUAGUAACAACACAAAUAAAAUAAGUUAAACAAAGCAUAUAAAACAUAGUAUAUAGACACAUUAGAUAAUGAAACACAAACCUCUUUCUUCUUCUUAUGAAACCUAGAGUUGUGAUUAGCCGCACCACAUACCCCACAAUGCAUAACUCGUUUCAGAAGCUUUGGUUGCUUCUUUAAAGGAGACUCAUUUUUUCCUUUCUUUCUUUUCACCUUCUUACUCUUUUUUUUCCUGCCAGGCUGUGGAGGCUCAGGAGGUGGAUGCACUGGAGGAGCUGUUCUAACAGGCCAAAACCUUGCACCUCUUAAUGGAACUAGACCCUCUGUGUAGUUCCUCUUCCACUGGGCUGUACGAAACCAGUGGCAGACGUAAUCCUCGGCUUUAAGUUUCAACUUAAGGAUAACACCAUAUGCAUGUACACAUGGGAUUCCUGUGAUCUCCCAUUUCCUACAGCUACAAGUCCUCUGAUUCAAACUCACACGGUAAGAACAACCAGACAACAUAGCUAAAAACAUUUUAUUUGUACUUCUGUGAACCUUAACUUCUGCAGCAUCUUCAAGCUCUUUUGCAAGAUAUGCUUCCACAUAUGGUGUACAUAAACCCUUGUGAUCAUGAGAUUUAACACUUCUUUUGGCAAUACGUACCAUUGCAAGUCGAGCAAUCAUUUCUAACAUAGGCACCAGUGGCUUCUCUCUUGCUUUGACUAUCGUAUUGUUAAAUGAUUCUGUGGAGUUGUUCUCAACAUCUUCAACAUAGUGGCCAAUUUUGUAGAAAGCUCUACACCAACUCAUUGGGUUCUACUUCAUCACAUCCUCAUAAACACCCAUAUCAUAUUGCUUCAAUUUCUCUAGGUUUUCUCUAUACUCAGCCUCAUUGUAACUCCAUGCUAGAUUCCAGAUAAAAGGCUUCAUCUGUGAUUUCUUACCAUGAUUUGCCUUUAAAUUUCCAUAUAUGUGUCUCACACACAUCCUAUGUUCAAUAUGGGGUAACUCUAUCUCCACAGCUCUAAUCAAUCCCUGUCACUGUCGGGAAUGACAUCGUGACGAAUACACGGCUCAUCAAUGAAUUCGAUUACUGCUUGCUCGAUGUUGAAAUCAUUUCGUGCGGUUUGGUCUUCUAGAUUUUCAUCAUCGGGUUCCUCAUCAAUAGGAACAUCGUUCAUCUCGCUCUCUAGAACUGACAUCGAUGAAGAUCAAUGAACUUGCAGGUUUUGGUUUCGUGAGGAAGGGUUUUUGAUAUGGGGACAUUUAUAAGUUGAGGGAUUUUAUGAUUUGGGUAUUUAAUCGGGUUUGGGUUUCGAGUUAAAUUUGUUUAGGUUUGGUUUAAGUUUGUUUAUGCUGGUUAAAACAAGAUUAGUCUACAGUAAACCAACAUUAACCCAACUUUAUGUGAAAAUUAGUUUUGAACUUUCAUUUUAUGUUGAAAUAGGUUUUUAACUUUAUAUCUAGGGAGAAAUAAUUGUAGAACUAUGAUUCUGGGGAAAAAUAGAGAGAGUGUAAAACUUUGGGUGGAAGUGAUGUUAUACGAAAGUUUUGGGGGGGAAUUACCUUGUCGUUCCUAAUAUGUUUACAAACUGUCUUAGAAAUAUAUAAAGCCCUUUUAGAGAAGUUUUGCUCAUCUAUGUUAUUUUCGAAAAUUUAUCUAACACAUUUAGUGCGUUAAUUCACGUAAAACCAUAACCUAGCUACCAACCCCGGUUCUAAAUAUAUUUGGACAUUUGGGCAAAAAAAAUUUUUUUGGAUUUUUUUGAAUUUUUGGUUAAAAUCGGGACUAUUUUGUAAAUAACUUUUGUCUUAUUUUAAAUUUUCAAAAAAAUAUACAGGCCUUUUUAUGUAAAAGAAUAUAAUUUUGAAAAUUUUGGGCCUAUUUAUUAGAAAAUUUCAUGUCUAUUUGCAAUUGUUUUUCAAAUAUGGGCCUUUUUCAUAAAUGUUUUUAACAAAAAUCUAUGGUCCCCUCGGCCACUGCCCCUCUGUCCACUCUUUUUGGUCCGGGCCUACUAGCUACUUACUUUAAUUUUUGCAUUGUGAUUUACUAGUGACAAAAAAUUCUUAAGAGUAAUGUUGUAAAUCCUAUCUUUAAUAUAUUCGAUUUUCUCUGAUUGUUUGCUCAGAUCUCACAAAUCGAUUUAGAACCUCAGCUCAAGAACACGAUUAAACAAGAAACAAUAAAGAACCUGAAACUCAAUUUGUUAACCCGAUUCAGCGAGAUCGUUGUGAUCACGCCUACAUCCGGAGCCGAAUCAAUCCGGCAAAUUCACUAGAAUAAGAAGGAAUCAGCUCAAAUCCGACCUUACAAUAGUCAAACAAUGGUGGUUCUCUUUGCUCUCUCUCACUCGAUACAAGAACAAAGAAAUAUGAAAGUGAUUAUGAAGUUAAUGAAGAAGAAACUUAUAUCAUGUAUGAUGUAUCUCUGUAUAAAACAUAAGACCCUCCAGGGGCGGAUUUAGAACUAUAUUUAGUAUAGGGCAUUGUUAUAACUAAUAAUUAAAUUAUAGAGCAUUUAAAUAAAUUUUACACUAGUUAUUCAAGAAAAUUAAAAAUUUAGAGUGGGGCAUAUGCCACACCUAGUCUCUUCUUGCAUCCGCCUUCACUGCAGUUUAAGAUUUCUCUUGACUUUAUCACAUUUGUCGGUUUAAUCAGCAAUCUCCAAAACCGGAAAUAACCACAUGGUUCAACUCUUAUUGAUCCAAUCAGACCGACGAGACCAACCUGAAAUUGAAUCAGACAUAUAAACCAUGACACUCCACCUUGAUUCAAUUUCCUUCCUUCUAUAGCAAAUUUGCACUGACCAUGGAUUUAACCUCCGGCAAAGACGACUUCUCGUUAUAUUUAGAAUUUGAAUCAGUCAUAUGCCACUGCCAGCUUGCCACUCAAUACAAAAUUAUAGUAAAAACUGGUCGUUACUAUAAAUAAUUAUUAUCUUGGAUUUUCUUCGCGAUAUUCGAUUUUUAUGUUUAUUUGAGUUUAUUAGGCUUUAUUGUAUAUAUUGUUAGAACUUAUUUUGAUUAGUUGCGCUGGACUAUUUUUUCAGGUAAUUUUCAAAAUUGAAGUUCGUUUGAAUGAGAAAUGGAGAUCCAAAAUAAUUAGCUUGAAAAGCUUAAGAUUUUGACUAAAGGUCAAAGUGAUUAUUUUGGAUGUUAGAGGAGAAACCCAAAUACACAUGGGCUGGAUUUGGGUUUGAGACAUGGGGUUUUGACUUGUGUUAGUCAAACACAAUUGUCUUCUCCUUUAAUUUGAUUUUGUAACAUUUGUGUUAAUGACAAAAUCAAUUAGAAAUGUGUAACCUAUGAGCAUUGAUCAUGAGAUUAAUGGUGGAAGAUUUCCUCUCUCCAAGCAAGACAUUAAAUGUCUUGACCUAGUCUCCAAAUCUUUUGUAGACUAUAAAAGAGAGAGUCUUGGGUCUCAUUCAUAUGAUGGAUCAAAAAGAUCACAAUCUCUUUCCUCAUCUUUUCUCUAGUUAUCGAGUCUGAGAGUAUACACAUCACUAGAGUUCGUUAGCCUUCUGAUUUUGAGUGUUGCAAAUCAGAAGAUGGUGCGGUUGUAUCCUGAGAUUCUGAUUGCAUCAAACCGUCACAUUAUGGACAAUUAAAGAAUUAAGGAAAGACUGUCUCGCCUCCAUACAAACUGUUCUUUUUUAUCAAAUAUUGAUAUCGUUGCUGUAUUUUUAUUAUGGUUUUUAUCAUCAUCUAUUACAAUCAUUCAGUUUUGCCACAUCGUAGAAAUCGUUGUCUUACUUAUGUUGGUUGGAUUUAUACGGAAUUUGAAUUGAUCACGAACUAGAGUAAAAUUCAACACGCCUUCUUUUUCAUAUCGAUUUUGUUUUGCGGAAUAACGAAGGGAGAAAAAAAAAAGUAAUCUGGAAAUUAGAAAAAAUACAUUGAAUACCAAUAUAACUACUUUUUCUUGUGAUCUACGUCUUUGAGGAGACAACAUUCCCAUAAUAUAUUUAUCAAAGUACAAGAGCUUACAAAAAACAACACUGAUGAAUUUCAAUAUAUAUAACCGCGAAGGAGAUGAAGCUUUAAUUUGUUUAAUAUUAGAAGAAAAAAGUGCCAUUAUUCUAAAACGGUUCCUAAAUCCUAACAACCCGUUUGCAAGUGACUCCCUCGUAAGCUACUUAAUGCCCCAAUUCUGUUAAUGCUCUAUAAAGUCUCUGAGUUCCAUUUGGGUAAAACUUGACCUCUCCUCCAGCAAGAGUAUUCUCCACACAAGGGCUAUUUAAUCCAAUGAUACAAUUUGAAUUACGUAAUGAAAAUAAAAAUAUGAAAAUUAAUUAACAAAAUAUAAAUAAUGAAUUGAAAAGUUACAUAUUAUAUAAAAAUGAUUAAAAUCAUACAAAAAUGAUAUCUGGACAUUAGAAAAGUAACAUACAUAAUAACCAAAUAGCUAAAUCUACUAGUCUGGCAUCUGCAAUAUGAAGAAAAAUUCGUAAAUAGCCUCAAUUUUUUUUUUUUUUUUUUUGACGAAAAAUUACCUCAAAAUCUUUAUAUUGAACAUCAUUAUCCUCCUUCAUUUCCGUCAUCACCUCAUUGCUUUACGAGAUGUUUCGUCCCUUGAUGCUUUUCUUGUCAGAUGAAUUUUCCCCAAAACGUUCCAAUCAUGGAACUCGGAGUGAUCGAGGAUGAAGUGGCACCGCCUUCGGAAUGAAUUCUAAGUCGUACCGACGGCCUUAUUCACUAAAACACUCUUUACAAAAAGUUAUAAUAGGGAGAAUUAAUAGUUAGAAACUAGUUAACUCACCAAGAUAGAAAAAAUUUACUUACUGAUUGGUAGACCUUGUCCAAAUUGGUUUUUGAUAUCUUUCGGGAUUGGAUUAACUUGACUGCAUGAAUCCUCAGAGAGCGAAAGCUUAGAUAAUUUCUUGUUAACCUUCUUCUUGACAACCUUGAUGAUGGUGUACUAAUUAAACCUUCUCGUUGACAAUUGUUCUGUUGGACUUCCUCUUAGAAGUCACCUUUAGAAGGGUGAUAUGAGGUAAUCUUUAGAAGCGUGGUAUGAGGAAGAAGUUCUCUUCUUCUUCUUCAAUCUCGAGCCAAUCCGCAUUUUCUCCCGCGAGCCCGAGUUGCUCGUGUGCGGCCAAAGCAUCCGCCGGGUCCAGACUUGUGAGCCCUAGCCGCUCGUCUCUGAUCAGUCGUCGUUCACUUUCUCCGCUUCUUCCUUGCUUCGCUGCCAGUGUGUGUGUGAGGAGAUAUAGAUAUCCAAGCUUCUAGUGUCUGAGAGAUGGAUCCAUAAUCUAGAUCUAAACCCUAAAGUUCCUAAAUCUUACAUCUCUGAAACCUUAGUUGUCAAAACUACUAGAUUUAAAAAAUGUGGUACAUUUGGCAAAAAUCCAUUUUUAUAAAACCAUUUGAUAUUAAUUUUAUAAUAAUAAGUUACAUGAUUUUGUGAUAAAAGAAAGUAUAUGUUGCAUACAAACGAUUUAAACAUUAAGCUAAUACAUUUCCAUUUUUUAUGAUUCAAGCUAACCAUAAGUUAAAAUUUUGUCUGAUUAAUAUUGUAUCAAUUAUAGUUUGCUUUUGUAUGUCAAACAAUAUUUUAGAAUUAAGCAACCUGGUUUGGUUUGAUCUUUGCAAUUUUCCAAUAUUAAAAACUUGGCACAAAAGCAUUUGAUAUUAAUUUUAUGGUAAUAUGUUGCAUACAAAUGAUAUGAUUAUGUGCUAAAAGAUAUGUAGAAUACAAAUUAUUUCAAAUAAGAUAAAUACAUUUCCAAAUUUUUUUAUGGAAAUUGUUUUAGUGUAUAAAAAGAAAAUAUGAUUAUUGGUCCAAAAAGAUAUGUGAUAAAAUAUUGUAUAAAUAUUUUACUUUUAUAUGUCAAAUAAAGUUCUCAUUUAUGAUCAUAUUAAAGUUCGUCAAAUCUUGAACUGAAAUAUCAUUAGAUUUUUUACAUUUUAAAUUUCAAUGAUGGCAAAAAGAAGUCCUCCAAUCUCACAUUUGCUUUUUGCGGAUGAUAGUCUCUUUUUCUGUAAAGCAGAUACAGAGCAGUGUAAAACGGUGAUGGAUAUUAUUGGAAAUUAUGGCAAAGCUUCAGGGCAAGAGAUAAAUUUCAAUAAAUCUUCGGUCAUAUUUGGUAAGCGUGUAGCACACCAAAAGAAAGAUGAACUAAAACAUUUCCUUGGUAUUACUAAGGAAGGUGGAAUGGAUACUUAUUUGGGUAUACCAGAGAGCCUAGGGGGCUCAAAAAAUAAAAUCUUUAAUUACGUUCGGGAAAGACUUAAUGAACGGAUUAAUGGUUGGUCAGCUAAAUAUCUGUCAAAAGGUGGGAAAGAGACUAUGAUCAAGUCUGUUGCUUUGGCUCUCCCAACAUAUGUUAUGUCUUGUUUUAAACUUCCUCAAGAGUUAACAUCUAAGUUAACAAGUGCUAUUUCUAAUUAUUGGUGGAGUUCUAAUGGGAAAGACCGUGGAAUUCAUUGGAUAGCAUGGGAAAAAAUGUGUAUGGAUAAAGAAGAAGGAGGUUUGAGUUUUCAUUCUCUAGAUACAUUUAAUGAUGCCAUGUUGGCUAAACAGUAUUAGAGGUUAAUCCAGUAUCCAAACUCAUUAGUAGCUCGAGUGUUAAAAGGUAGAUAUUUUAGGAAUGUUCAUCCUUUAAAUGCUAAAAAGCCAAACUCUCCAUCGUUUGGAUGGAAGAGUUUUUUUUCUACUAAAAGACUCGUUGAAAUGGGUGCAAGAUGGUCUCUUGGUUCGGGUUUUAACAUAUCGGUAUGGAGAGAUCCUUGGAUUCCCGAUGUUAAUCCACGCCCCGCAAAUGGCAGAGGGAAUUUGUUGCUUCCAAGCCUAAUGGUUAACCAUUUAAUUAAUCCGGUUACUAAAGAAUGGCACCUCCCAAUUUUAUAAGAAUUCUUGGAUCCGGUGGAUAUUCAAAUUAUUAGUGGACUAGCUAUUAGUCAAGUUUAUAAACCAGAUAGGCUUAUUUGGCAUUAUACAAAAUCAGGAAAAUAUACAGUAAAAUCAGGAUAUCGGCUUGCUCGAAGUUUGACAGAAACGACCGAAUGGGGUCCAAAUUAUAGAAAAUUACAAGCACAAGUUUGGAAAGUCAAAGCUCCACCAAAAAUAAAACAUUUCUUAUGGCAAAUUGCUUCGGGAUCCUUGGCAGUUACCUCAAAAUUAGCACAACGAGGGAUUCAUUGUGAUAUUAUCUGUAAAAGGUGUGAGACGGCAGAGGAAACAAUAAAUCAUGUUUUAUUUGAAUGUUCUCAUUCUAAAAAAAUAUGGGAAUUAUCCACAAUACCUAUGGUUUCAGGUUCUUUUCCUCUAAGCUCGGAAUUUUCAAAUCUAGAUUAUCUUUACUGGAGGUUACCACCUCCUCUAGAUGGGGGAGAAAGAACUAAUUGUUUUGCUUGGAUUUUGUGGUUCAUAUGGAAAGACAGGAAUAAAAAAGUUUUCAAAGGAAUUCAAUCUGAUCCCACAGAUAUUUUAAAUCACGCUUUGAACGAAAAAUUAAUGUGGGAAGAUGCUCAAUUGGAACCGAUCGAAACUAGUAUUGAUACGGAAAUUUUGGAAAGCCCUAUCCAAUCUAUAAGAUGUCGGAUUGAUGGCUCUUGGAAAUCUUCGGAUCCAACUAUGGGUAUAGGAUGGUGGUGUUUUCAAGGAAAUGAUCAAACGAUACUACUUGGUGCAAAGUGCCUCCGGAGAUCCCCCUCCCCCCUUCACUCGGAGAUGGAAGCGUUAAUUUGGGCCAUGAAGAAUGUCUUUUCAAGAAGGAUUGAUUGUCAGGCGUUUGAAACAGAUUGUUCAGAGUUAGUCUCGAUGGUACAAUCACCUGAAAAAUGGCCCGCUUUCUCUAAUCUGCUAGAUGCUUUUGGACUGCUCCGUGACUCUUUCCCCUUAUUCUCGCUUUCUCUUAUACCUCGUUUAUGUAAUGUUAAGGCGGACUGCUUAGCCCGUUCUUCUAGACUUUUAUUUUCCGAAGUUACUUUUGUAAACACUACUCCUCCUAAUUGGGCAACCAAUCAAGGUGUUAUUUAAUAAUUAAUGUGUGGUUGACAAAAAAAAAAAAAAAAUUCAAUUAAUAAUAUAUUAUUAUAGUUAAAAAAAUAAAAAUAUCCAGCAGAGAUACACUACUCAUUAAAGUAUUAUAAAAGAAUGAAAGUCUAUAUAUAUGCUUAUGACGCAAUUUCUUACAAUAUCUGUAAUUGGAGACUCAAACAUCUCUGACGGUUGAUUAAUUUUUUUUCUCUCUCUCGCUUCUACCUGUUCGCCCUAGCCGUCAAAGCCAUUUUCUUCCUCUCUUGGCCGGCGAUUGGUGGCUUCCAUAGCACGGUCGCCCGUCCCGUUCACCGUAGUUUCAGCUUCUUCUCAUUAGUUCAUCUUUGUUGUUAAUUUUGCUUCUCAAACCCUAGUUUCGCCGUCUCCUCCCAUUGUCCUUUCCUCCCUUCUUUGGUGGUUCCGACGUGGUGACUAUCAUGGAGGAUGGGUGGCGUAUUGGUGAUCUUCGUAGACGGAUCUGUUCCCCGGUGGAACUGUCUCGUUUUCUCCGAUCUGGUUAUAGAGGUCUGUGUUUUCCGAUCUGUUUCUAGUGUCUCAACAUUCAGCUCUGUUCUCGUUGGUUGGGGAAUCGGGAGUUGAUUUGUUGCAUGUUCCGGCUGGUUCCGAGGUGGAUCUGAAGAGUUCAAGUCCUGGAUUUUGUUGGCUUUGCGGUGGUGCUGUCUCUUGUGAGGCGUGUAUUUAGCCGGCGUUUCGUUUCCAUGACUUGUUUCUGAACAUCCUUUUGGUGUUGCAGCAACGGCCUCUUUGUGUGCGGAUUCUUCCUCUGUUAGUGAGUUUGGAUGACUUCUAGGGUUUGUGUUAUGCUGUGUUUUUCGAUUUGUUGUGAUUUGAAGCCUUAGGUUCAGCUUUUGGGUUGGCUUGUUUGACUCCUUGCUCUGCCUCUCUCUCUGUCCUCCUCUUGGUUUUCGGUGUGGUGAUUUGGCGAUAGGUUCUGUUUUGUGGGUUCUCCAUUCAGAUGCUAGCUUUCUACAAUGGCAUCUACUAGCUCUCUGUUGGAACCUCGUUUGGUUUCUCGGCUGAGUUCUGGACGUUGUGGUGGGUCGAUCCCUUGUCCUUCUCUUUGCGUGGCGUAACCAGUUUUUAGUCUGUAGGUGGCUUUGGCUGGGUCUACGAAGGUCCGUGUGUAAGGAUGGUUGGUCCUAUUUGGCGUUUCCCCUCUCGGAUCUCAAGGUUUUCCUUGAUCCUCCGCUUUCUCAUUCUCAUUGGCUCUAAAGUGGUGGUGGUGGUUAGGUUCUGUGUUCUGAUCUUCUUGCUUCGUCGUCUUCGUUUCUGCUGUGGAGAUGGUUGUGUGAGCUCGUUUAGUUUCCUUCUCGAGGCUCCUGUCUGUUGUCUCUCCAUGGCGUAAAACUGUUCUAUGGAAGUGUUAGUCGACUGCUUGUAGGGAAGAGUUGUCAGUGUUGUGGCUUUGGAGGCUUUAGCUAUUAUUCCUUUAGUUGUAAUCUUUGUAUCGUUAGGCUUGAUAUGUUUGUCUGCCUCUUAUGGCCUUAUGUCUCUGGGGGUUUCUAUGUACCUGCCGGCUUUGUCUCCGAAAGGUUUCCGUUCCUUAUCGGCUUUGUAUACCUUAAAAUCGCAUUCUAUCAAUGAAAUCCUUUAGACGAAAAAAAAAAAAAAAAGACUCAAACAUCUCUAAUCUUCUUUGUGCUCCCUUCAACAUUAGAGAAUUAUGACUCACCAUAAAUCUUGUUGCAUUAGGUUGAGGCUUGUCCUCAAAGAGCCUGCGUUGGUG
RNAcentral lists this long non-coding RNA (60369 nucleotides) under Arabidopsis lyrata. RNAcentral describes it as "long non-coding RNA (ALYR_LNC002750)". Lineage: Eukaryota; Viridiplantae; Streptophyta; Magnoliopsida; Brassicales; Brassicaceae. The record is from RNAcentral.